AAAUGGUGGUGGGUCAAUUUCAGCAAUAAAAAUAAUAAAAGAAAAACAGAAGGAGAGGAGUGAUUGUGAUCAGUAGAACAGUAGAAGGGAGAAGCCUUUUGUUGGGUCUUUUGGGGACGCCGUGAAAUCAGCUAACAAUUUUCAUUUCUCCAUUAAAUAUUAUAUAUAUGAACAAAAAUGAAUCCUUUCAACACUUUUUUUUGGUAUAUCUAUGACUAUAUGUUUCUAACAUGGUGGCACAGCACUAUAAUUAAAAAGAUAGACACAAUUUUUUUUUCUGCAAAAGAUUAUCCCAUUGAUUAUUGAGUGGAAAAUUCUAAGAAAACCCAUAAUUUCAUUUCAUUUUUUUAUUUUUAAAAAGCCAUCCACUUGCUAGAAAGAAAAUGCUCUCUCUUUCAAAUAAUAGAGGGAUUGCAUACAUGUAGGCUACAAAAUGUUUGCUACAUUUUUGGGUUAUUUUAAAAUUUUAAUAAAUUAUUGAUAUGAACAAAAGGUUUUGACGUUGGGAAGGUUCUUUUGGGUCGGAGAGUGAGAAAUUAGACUGGUCAAAAUAUGUAUAUUCAAGAGAGGAUCCAAGAGUAGGAGAGUUAAGAAUCGUGUUAAGAGAGAAGAUGUCUUAUCUUGAUUUUUUGAGGUGUCAUAUGUUGUUCAUGUAUUAGUCUUGAACUUCCUAUAAAUUAAUUCGUAUGUGAGUAUCUUGUUAUCGUUUGUCGUCCCAAGCAUGUUUUUAAUAUAGAUUGUCAUGCAUGGGAAUAAAUAUUUACCAUUCAUGUCAUAUAAUUGAUCUUGAUGACCCAGGCUCAUGAAAUCUUGAGCUUAUAGGUGUAUUAACUCUGAUGGUGGUCUUGCAAGGUAUUAAUAUAACAUAAAUAAAUUAUAAUCCAAUUAAGAUAGGUGAAAUGAUAGUAAAAUAGUAAUUAAGAUAGGUGAAAUUAUAGUAAAAUAGUAAAUAAAAAUAGAAAAAAAGUAAAAAAAUGCAAUUUUUUUACGUAUUCGGGUCGGGCCGAAAAAGCCUUACCCGAGGUAAGUCUAUUUUCACAGGUCUUUUUUUUUUUUUGCCUAAGCCCAUUUUUCGGGCCUAUAUUUUUAUCCAAACCUUCACACUUUUCGAGUAGGCCUUCGGCCCGGGCCAGGCGGCCCAACCCAUGAGCAGAUCUACUUCUAUAGUGGAAAAGCACAUUUAACCUAAAAGUAUUUUUCCACUGUAAUGAAGAACACACCCUAAAUCUAAAAUUACACUUAACACCUACAAAUAAAGAUUGAGUCAGUUUCAUGAGUUAACCGAACAUCAACUUAGUUAGAAAAUAAUUAACUCAUGACAUUAAUUCAAUCAUAAAAAAAAAAACUAAGAAGUCAUUAUUUUUAAGGUUAAUGUAGCAUUUGGUACUUGAGUUUGGUUCUAAUGUUUAACUUGAUACAUGAGUUUGACUUCAAGAUUCAAUAUAAACUAAAUGGCAUCAUGUGGUCCAAUGAAUGUAUGACAUGUGUACAUUACUAAAAACUAUAGGUACUUAAUUGGGAUAAAGAAAAAAAACCAUAUUAAUAAUUAUGUAAAUUAUGUAGUUGUGAGUUCGAAUUUCUUAUAAAUUAUAUAACCGUGUAAUUACAAUUAUUAUUAUGUGGCAUAUGGAAUUCCAAUGUAAUUACAUUCUUUCAACUAAUUGCGUCUAAAGAAUUACAAUUCUUUAUAAUUACAAAAGAGUGUAAUUAGUAUCAUGAUAAUUACAUUUUCAUCCAAUUACUUUGUGUUGUCCAAACAAAUUCUAAGAGAUGUUUGGUUUACAAAAUGUAAGAUUAUCAUUGAUAACAUGAUUACUCGAAAUGUAUAUUGCUUAACACAUUACCGAUUACAUUGUCUUGUUUGAUUCAUUUAGUUGAAAUGUGAUGUUUUUAUGUUUGGUUGAUCGAAUAUAAAAUUACUUUAAAACAUAUUUUACUAACUUAUCCUUAUGAAAUUUACCUAUUUUUAGUGUUUAAUAUACAAAGGUUGAAACUUGUAGUGUUUUACUUUACUGAUAACUUAAUAUAUAUUUCUCUAGUAAAUUAAUUUCAUAUAUAUUAUAAAUAAAUAAAUUGGGAUAGGGAAGAGUGUUAGUGUGAGUUUGGAUGAGUGGUGCGUUUAGCUUACUUUUUAUCUCACACUACAGUAUUUAAUCUCAUCGUCACCGUUAUUUUUACACUAAUUAAUCGCAGGUAAAUGUAUCGUCUAUCCAGACUCACCCUUCAUCAGCUAAAACUUCUCUUUCCAAGUGAUAAAAAAGAUAAAAGAAUCUACUUUUUUUUUAUUAUCUAUAGUUAAAUUAUCACUUUGAUACCUAUAUUAUUUUUUUUAUCAAUUUGACCAUUAUAUCUGUAAUUCUUUACCCCAAUUUAAUUUUUUUAAAAUAAUUAAACCAAUCAAUGAGACGUAUCAAAAAAAUUACUUAAAAUUAAGAAAAUAAAAAAUAAUAAAACAUAAAAGAUUAUAAAAACUAAAAAAAUUAUAAUCAAUUUUCAAAAUCUAAUAUCUAAAAAUAUUAAAAUCCUUAAACCAAAGCAGAGCAAAGCAACCGGAAAAACACAAAAGGAUUGCAGAAAAGCACAGAAUGUACGGAAAAUGCAGCCCUUAAAAGCGCAAGUAAUUUCACUUCCAUGUCGCAUGGGGUAGAAGAAAAAGGCAACAAUUCCAUAAAUGGACCACUUCUUUUAUUCCUUUUUCAUAAGGUAAAUUCACAUAAAUGCUCCCACAAUUAUAAUCUUUUUUGUACCAUACCAUUACCCUAUUCAUAAAGCUUUUAAUUUGAGUUAUUUUUUAAAUAUUUUUUAAAAAAAAAGUAAAGGGCAAGAGCUAUACAUAGAAAAAAGACCCACGUAUUAGUUCAAUACAUUCUCAAAACUACCUUUAAUUCUUUCAUGCAAUUGGAUUCUAUUUUUCCAAAUCUUUCUGCAUGCCCAAAAUAUACUCAUUAAAUUUCUAUAUAUAUAUGUUAAAUUUAUUGAUAAAUUUCUCCAACUGAUUCAAUCGAAAAUUGAAGAUCUAUUUGAUUUAAAAUAAAUUAAUUAGCCAUAAAUCAAUUCAAUAUAACUGCUCAAUGUUUGAUGUUCAACUAAGAAAUUGUGGAUGGUCUGAUUCUCUUUCACAAGUGAGGAUCUACACUGAUAAGAACAAUGGAGAUUAAGGAAUGUUUCUAGGGAAGAAAACAAAGCUCUAGACUUUUUACCCAAAAUAUCUUCUGAUAGGAAGGAAGGUGCUCACCAAGUCUCUGGGGAGCUCGUAGCUAUUUUAAAGUUUGUUACAACAAGUGAUGCUUUGGUUUCAUAGUAGUUUGAUGUAAUUGUUUCUUUAUCUUUCACCAAAAAAUAUGUAUAUAUAAUUUUUAAUUUUUAUUCAUUGAGUAAAAGGGUUGAUUAGUGAUCGAAUCGAUUCUCUCGGUAAUAUAAAAUUGAAAAAAAUCAAAUUAAUUCGAGUUAGGUAAAAAUCAAUUAAAAAUUUAUUUGGAUAGGAUUUAAUGUACUCUAAGUAAAGUUUUAUGUCCGAGAGUUUUGUUCUAUUUAAUGAUUCGAUUAAGCUCAACUUCAAAUUUAAUCGAAGUCUAAUAUGAUUAUGGAAUAUUAAAGAAUUUUUAAAAAAUUUAGCAUUUUAUUCUAUAUAUUUAUGUAUCAAUCACUUUAAAUUUAAAAAGAAAAUACGGAGGAGAUCCUCUUACUUAGGGUAAGGAAGUUUUUUGUCGAUAAGAACAACAAAUAAUGUACUACAUGAUCAUCUUCGACACACAUCUCUUGCAUGUUUAGUAUUCAAAAAACACUUCAAGUCACACUGUACUCACUCAGAGACAUCACAACAAGAUAAUAAACUCUUUAAUCACAUUCAAAUAUACGUGCAAAAGGUCCACCAUGACUCAACUACCUGUCCUCCACAAAACACUUGUUCAAAAGACUUACAUCAGUCUAUAUAAACUCUUUCCACUUACUGAAUCAUUUCAAGACAUUACUUUAUUACGACACUCAACCAAAAUUAACUAAAGAACCUUUCAUUUCUCUACUAGUUCAUGUAAAUAUAUUUAGACGACUCUCAACACUUUUAUACGAAUGGUCUUUAAUCUUAUACCAAUAGUAUUACAUAAACUUAUAUAUUUACAUAUAUUUUUUUGAACAAUCUCAUUAUAGGUUUUAAUAAUAUCUGUUCAUUUUGAUACAAUGCUUAGAACUAUCCAUAGUCUCUCCCCAACCCAUAAAUAGGAGGAUAAUGCGCUUCAGCACACUCAAACUCACGUCCUCCUGCAUUGCCAACAAUACCCAUACCAAUCGAGCUAAGACUCGAUCGGCUAUAUUUACAUAUUUUUUAAGAAUUAGUAAUUUGUAUAUUUAUUUAUUGAUGGGAUAAAAUUAAUCCCUAGUCCAUGGUGAAAAAAAAUGGAAAAAGGAUACAAGUAAUUAAUGAAUAAAAAUGUAAAAAAUAGUGAGACAGUUCAUCAUAUUGUUUUGAAUUGAUUAAUAUAGAGUCUAGCUAGGUUGAUUUAAAAUGCUCUUCCUUAACAUCCGGCUCAUUUGAAUAGCAAUCAUGGAAAAUAGGAACAUGCUAAUUAGUGUCUAUGAAUUAUGGGGUUUUUUUUUAUUAUUAUAUCUAAAAUUGAAUUAGUUGGUUUAAAAUUUUGAUUUAUUAUUACAAAUUAAAAUAUUUCUGCACUAAUGUUUAUAAUUAAAUGUUUAACUUUAAUUAAGUUUUAUUUAAUUAAAAUUGAAUUUUUUGAAAUAAUAUUAAAAAUUAAAACGUUCUUUGGACGAGUGUCGAAAGAAACGGAUUGUGCAUGUGCAGACGACCGCAAAUGAAGAAAAUUUCAAUAUUUACAUUUUGGUAGAAUUUGAACCUGUGCUCUAUAACAUAUAGGGCAUUUAUGAGCAACUACACUUUCAUUGUCCACCUCUUUAAUUUUGAAAAUGCCACUUUAAAAUUUUCUCUCGAAAGAGUUGAAAAUCCCUUAGCAGUAUUAAAUUAUUUUUUUAUAUAUAUUUUAUGUGUAUUUUAUAAUACAUGUUUGUGGUUUGAGAUUGUCUCUCUUAAUAAUAUCAUUUUCAAAGUUCGUAUCCCGUUCUUCCAUUAAUACUAAUUAAACGAGGAUUCUAUUAAUUGUGCCCAUAGACACUAGUUAAGAAUUACUUUUAUUAUAUUUAUAAGAAUUAAAAUAUAAAAUAAUUAAGUAUAUGCUCUGUUUUAUAAAUAUCACAUUUAACUAAUACCAGUAAGCAUUAAUAAAUAUUUUCAUUAAAAUGAUAUUGAUAAGCAUUAUUAAAUAUCAACAUGUGGUCGGGUACGAUGGUAAGACACAUUAUAUUUUUAAUGAAAGUAUGAAUGUUCAAACCUUAGAAAGAACAUUGUUAGGAGAAAUAAUCACGGAUCUUAAAUAUGAACCAUAAAAUAGACAUAGAAAAUAAAAAAUAAUAAUAAGUAUUAUUAAAUUAGAUUAUAAUAAUGCAUUGAUUAUUCCAAUAUUCUUGGAUCAAUCUACAAAAUUACAUAGAAAAUUAGAUUGUGUUCAUUAGAUUACAUGCCUAUGUCUGCCAAUUAAUUAUAAUUAAAUUUAGGAUAAACUACAUAGAUAAUCUUUCAACUAUAAAAAAAAUUUCAUUUUAGGCACUUAAGAUGAAAAAAGUUGUAAUUUAAGCACUCACGUUGUAUAGUUUAGUCAUUUUGGUCACUUUGAUUAAAUGCAGUUAAAAAAAUUAGUAUAAUAAUAAAUUUAGCUCUUAACUUUUACAUAUUAUAUCAAUUUAGUUAUAAUCUUAAAAAUUAACUCUUAAAAUUUAUAAAUAUUCUCAAUUUAAUCCUAAUUUUAAAAAAUAUUAUAUAUAUAAAUACAUAAGAAUUAAAUUAAAUAAAAAUCUCCAGCGUCUCCCCUUCCCCCACCGGACCUGUGCCCCCUCCCCCACCAUUGUUCCUCUCCCUCUCUAUUGCUACAAAUUAAGGACUAGCAUUUGCAAAUAAAUCCAGAAGGGCAGGUUACAAGAGAGAUCCAAAUAUAAGCAAAUCAAAUUGCAGCUAUAGAAGGAGAAAAACCAAUACAAGUCAUGCAUCUAUGUUAGUAUAGCAGUCAUAAAGACUGUAUUUUUCAUAAAUUCUAAGUGGUUACUAACGUGCAUGACAGCGUAGAUAUCGUACCUAAUGACAAAGACAUCACGAAACUCUUCUUCCAUGCUUCCAACCAUAUAUUUGUGGAAAGGAAGUUUAGUUAGAGCCUUAGAGGUACGCUGAAGAGAUGAUAUACAUUUAGUUCCACCUCUUGCUGCAAAUUAAGGAUUGGCAGUAGAGAGGAGGAGGGAAGGGGGUGAAGGGAUUUUUAUUCUAUUAAAUAUUAUUAUAAAAUUUAAAUCUCUUAUUAUGUAUUUUUAUAUAUAAUUUUUUAGAAUUAGGAUAAAUUGAGAAUAUUUAUAAAUUUUGAAGGUUAAUUUUUUAAAAUUCUGACUAAAUUAAUAUAAUAUAUAACAGUUGAGGGCUAAAUUUAUUAUUAUACUAAUUUUUUUAACUGUCAAAAUGAACAAACUACGGAACAUGGAUACUUAAAUUGCGAACAUUUUACUUUGGGUGACUGAAAAGAGAACUUUUCAUACUCGGGUACCUUAAAUUAAAAAAAAACAUAAAUUUAAGUGUAUAGUGUAUAUUUUAGCAAUGGCCAUUUGGUAAUUCAAACCUUUCGUCAAACACCUGUUGGGUCGUGUUACGUAAACAUAGCAGCUCUAUAUUCUAUCUCUGUCAAACCGAGGAAUGUUUUUUUUUUUUUUUUAAGAUUAUGCAUUUAAAAUUUAUAAAAAAGAUGAAAAAAAAAACAGUAACAUAACAAUGGUAGAGAGAGGAAAAGAAAUUGAAUCUCCAUUCUCCACUGUUUUUUUUUUCUUUUUCUUCUUUUAUAAAAAAAGUAUCAAAAUUUUUGCAAGGCAAAACCAUCCAAAAUUGAUCCAAGAACAGUGAGAUACUAUACUACAAGUCCCCAUUACUUCACAGCCUGUAAGCAAAAAAAAAACACCUUGAAAAUCCGUGAGAAAGCCGACAAUUUCAAGAUAAUUCCAAGCAUCCCAUGUGCGAUUCUUCCUUUUCUUCCUCUCAUCAACUCUCUCUUUGUUAUUGUGUCACCACUUAGUAGUUCUUCUUUGUUUUCUUUUUUCUGUAAUUUUUUCCUCUCAUUUUCUCUUCCUUUUUUUAGUGUAAGAGUCACUUUAACCAGAGCCAAAACCCAGUUCGAAUAUGUGGGAAUCAGAGACUGAAUCUGUCAGAGGUAGAGAGUAUGGCAAUGGUGUUCUUAGCUCCAACAAACAUGGUGUCAAAACUGAUGGGUUUGAACUUAGAGGCCAGUCCUGGUAUAUUUAUGUUCAUGGACCUCAUUUAACUUUCUGGGUUUUUCUUUUUGUUUCUAGGUUUACAUUUAUUUUGUUUGCAGGUAUGUUGCUACAGAUAUUCCAAGUGACCUUUUAGUUCAAGUUGGAGAUGUCAAUUUUCACUUGCACAAGGUAGCUGUUUAUCUAAAACUUCAAAAAAAAAAAUUUAAAGCUCUAAAACCAUAAAUUUCUUCUCACUUAUUUUUAUUUUCCCGGGAAAGUAUCCUAUGCUUUCUCGAAGUGGAAAAGUGAAUAGGCUUAUAUAUGAAUCAAACAACCACCCAGAUUUAAACAAAAUUGCUUUGGAAGAUCUCCCUGGUGGACCCGAAGCAUUUGAGUUAGCAGCUAAAUUCUGCUAUGGGAUUGCAGUGGAUUUAACAGCAGGGAACAUAUCUGGUUUACGAUGUGCUGCAGAGUACCUUGAAAUGACAGAGGAUUUGGACGAAGGUAACCUUAUAUUCAAAACCGAAGCGUUUUUAAGCUAUGUGGUGUUAUCUUCAUGGAGGGAUUCGAUACUGGUGUUGAAAAGCUGUGAGAAACUGUCGCCAUGGGCGGAGAACCUUCAAAUUGUGCGGCGCUGCAGUGAGUCUAUAGCUUGGAAGGCUUGUGCUAAUCCGAAAGGGAUUAAGUGGGCGUAUACUGGGAAACCGAGUAAGGUUUCGAGUCCGAAAUGGAAUGAUUUGAAGGAUUCUAGCCCCAGUAGGAGUCAACCUGUGCCUCCAGAUUGGUGGUUCGAGGACGUUUCGAUCCUUAGGACCGAUCAUUUUGUGAGGGUUAUUACGGCGAUCAAGGUGAAGGGUAUGCGGUUCGAGUUGAUCGGGGCGUCGAUCAUGCAUUACGCAGCGAAAUGGCUUCCAGGGUUGAUAAAAGAUGGUCAGGGUCAGGGGCCAGCGGAUGAUAUGAGUAUUAGUACCAAUAGUAAUAGUAGUGGCGGUACUGGUAGUAGUAGUUGGAAAGGCGGACUACAUAUGAUUGUAGCCGGGACGAAGGACGAUACUCCAUCGAUUCAGGCUAAAGAUCAACGGAUGAUCAUCGAGAGCCUGAUUAGCAUAAUCCCGCCGCAGAAAGACAGCGUUUCCUGCAGUUUCUUACUUCGGCUUUUGCGGAUGGCUAACAUGUUGAAAGUGGCACCAGCUUUGGUAACCGAAUUGGAGAAACGAGUCGGGAUGCAGUUUGAACAAACUACUCUGGCGGAUCUUCUCAUUCCUUCUUACAAUAAAAGUGAAACCAUGUACGAUGUGGACCUUGUUCAGAGACUAUUGGAACAUUUCCUUGUUCAAGAACAGACGGAAAGUUCGAGCCCGAGUAGACCGCCUUUUUCGGACAAACACAUGUAUGAAGGAACACAAAGGAGCAAUAAUCCGAAUGCCAAGAUGAGAGUUGCCAGGCUUGUUGAUAGUUAUCUUACGGAAGUUUCGAGAGAUCGAAACCUGUCAUUGACAAAGUUUCAGGUACUGGCUGAAGCUUUGCCGGAAUCUGCAAGGACCUGCGAUGACGGACUUUAUCGAGCUAUCGAUUCCUAUCUUAAGGUAACCUCUUUAUCCACAUAUUGCAAAUGGUGGUAUCAUUGAGAUCAAAUGGGGUAACAAAAUUCAAUUGCAGGCACAUCCGACACUCUCCGAACAUGAAAGGAAGCGACUCUGCCGUGUCAUGGACUGCCAAAAGCUCUCGAUCGAUGCCUGCAUGCAUGCUGCACAAAAUGAACGGCUCCCCCUGCGAAUCGUGGUACAAGUUCUCUUCUCGGAGCAAGUGAAAAUAAGCAAUGCAUUGGCCAACAGCACACUCAAAGACCCUGCAGAAACUCAAUACCAACCAUUGAUACCGAACCACAAGACAUUACUCGAAGCAACGCCGUUAUCGUUCCAAGAAGGAUGGGCAGCUGCUAAGAAGGACAUCAACACACUCAAGUUCGAGCUCGAGAGCGUCAAGGCCAAGUACCUCGAGCUCCAAAACGACAUGGAGAACUUACAACGACAAUUCGAAAAGAUGUCGAAGCAAAAACAAACAUCGGCAUGGACAAGCGGAUGGAAGAAACUGAGCAAACUCACCAAGAUGACAGCCGUGGAAAACCACGACAUCGUACCUCAAAUUUCGACGGCGGCAGAACAGACUCGAAAGACGCCGAGAAGAUGGAGAAAUUCGAUUUCGUAAAAGAGGUGCCUUAAAACUCUACAUUUCCCAUCAUGUGUUAGCCUUCCCUCUUAUUUUGUCUUGAAAUUUUUGAGGAAAUUGCAGUGUUGAUGUUUUACAGUGAUUACCAUGAUAAAAAAGAAAAAGAAAAAGCCACCACCAUGAAAAUAACUUCAAAUUGUCAUUCAAAAUUUGUUUGUGUUUCUAUGUGAUUUUGUUUGAUGUGUUCAUUCUUCUGUAAUUCCCAAUUUAGUCCCAAUGCCUGCCAAAUCAAAUAUGCUAAUGGAACAGGGCUCUUGAUGUUUAUUGCAUAAUAUAUUGUUGCUUUUAAGAUAAAUAUUAAAUAUCAAAUGUGAAAUAUUUUAUUGAAUUAGUAAAUAAACCGUGUCAUAGAUAUUAAAUAGAAUGUACUAAACUUCUUUAACAAAGUCCGACAAAGCCCAACAAAGCCACAAACCCAGAUGCAUAAGUAAGAAAGCAAUAGAAUAUCUUGAAACACUAGUAAACCUAAACUUCGUAACGGAGAAAAGGGGUCCAUUGCUUGAAUCAACCCUUUCGCCUAAAUAGAAACAAAAAGAGCACCAACACACCUUUUGCCAUCAAUUAUGAUACGGUGAGAGUCUCUAUACAGUUCAUUGCUCAAUAGACGGAAAGUCACUAGGGCUUAGAGAACGCGAACCAUCAUUGGACUCGAGCACUAAAGCACGACUCGACCCUUAGGCCACCUGGAAUUUCUUAUUUCGAUGGCUUGUCCUCAUCCUAUUGGAAAAACUGUCUGGAGUUUGACAUUGAGACAGAGUCAGGGACAGUGUAGGGGUUGGUGGCUGGCUAUUCAACGCCCAAAAAGUCGACCACCGUGACUACAACUAAAACCUUAAACAGUCACUCGGGAUCUCCUGGGCAAAGAGACAUUUGUGUGCUUAAAACGAGAGAUAUCAAACAACUACUGAUAGAAGAUAGCGCGCAAAAAAACUCCAUUCAAAACAAAUCGAUUCUAGAUUUUGCAUCCCUAAUCUAACAUAAAAAAUCAUACAAACAAUCAUAAUGAACUACCAAUAAUUUAAUUAUAUGGUGCAGGGAUAAGGUUAUGGUACAAAUUAAUAUCAUUCAUGUGAGUAGUUAAAACCCAACAAAAACAAAUAAGUCCCACCAACAAAAUGAAAUUGAAAAGAACUUGCUUGAAUUUAUAUGAAAUUCUCUCUCUUCUUUCAAAAUUCAAAAACAAAAUUCAUUUCAAUUCUUAUUAACUUUUCUAAUUUCUUUUCAAAGUUUUAAUUAAAUCCUCCAUUUUUUUUAAAAAAAAUUCAUUAAAUCUCUAAUUUCUUUUUUUUUGGAAUUAUUAAUUAAACCCUACUUUUUAAUAAAAUUUCACGAACCCCCAAUUUAAAAAAAAAGUUAUUAAAUUCUUUAAUUUUUUUAAAUUUUUUUAAUUAAGCCCCAAAUUUUAAACGCCGUUUUCAUCACCGUUGAAUUACUAAUUAAUGAUAUAUUUUGUACAUGACAUUUUAGCUAAGGGAUAUGAAUUGUGUAGCUUAUAUAGUAGCACUUGAAGUGGUAAAAGUACUAUGGAGAUCUCUAUAUUAGGAGUCAGAUUGCAUUUUUCUUUUUUUACUCAAAAAAUAGAUAAAUUAGUCCUUGUACAUUAGGUUAAAAAGCAGAUUUGACUUUUCUGUUAAAAAUUUCAUCCAUUUGUACUGUUAAAAAAUAGUGUGGCUGACGGAAUAAGCAUAUAUUGACACGUGGCAUGUCACGUGUACCUCAUGCUGACGUACAAAGACCAAUUUUUAACAGUAGAAAUUGAUGGAAUUACUAUCAGAGACGCCAAUUUGCUCUUUUAUCUAAUGUAUAAGAACUAGUUUACCUAUUUUUAAAUAAAACGGACACUUAAACCAGCUUAACAAAUCAUUCCAUGUAUAGAAUCCUGAGAACUGAUAUUUUAUGCCAUGGGUUGAAUCAAAGGCGCCACAAAUUUCAAAACGUACCCUCAAAUCCCUCAAAUUAAACAAUAAUCUCAUCAAUAGUUUCACGCUAAUCACCAAAAACAGGAAAAGACAGCUCUCCAGCAAUGGAGUCACAAAAUAUAAAUCUUUCUUUCACAUACAUACAUCAUAUAUGCAGGCAUGAAAUAGAUAUGGCAACAAUAAGCAAGAGUGUGUGAUUUGAGAGAUAACAAAGAAGCUACAAUUUUGUCCACAUAUUCUGACAUUAAAGUAUCAUCCUUAUUUUGUAGUUUUGGAUGUUACUCAACAAGGUGUAAUUAUUAGGAUUAGGAUAACAAUUAUAUAUAUUUUUGUAAGUGUAAGAAAUUUUAAUGCUAUAACUUAGAAAAUAUUUUUGAAAAAACUUGAAACUAAUCAUUACUUUUUUUUUAGAAGAAACCUAAAUACAAACUAAUUACAAGGGGAAAUUUUGAGCAAGGCUAACACUAGCCUUAUUAAUAGAGGAGAUUGUUAAUACCUCUUUUGGGAUUUCUUCAAAAACUGUCAGGUUUUGAUCUGUAUUAAAAGCCAAUUUAGUUAUGCUGCAAUUUCAUUUAACUCAUUGGGAAUGUAUUCAAUGACUCAAUGCCCAACUUUCACUAAAAUUUGAUGAAUUCUUCUAAUAAGGGUAGAGUUUGAAUCAGUCAAUGAGAAUUCCUGAAUAGCCUCAAUCGUCUUCAGACUAUCUACUUGAAUCAAGACGCCCUCAAAAUGUUUACCUUGAAAUCUAGAAUGCCCCACAAUUCAACAUCAAAGACAGAACAUUCACCCAGGAAUCUAUUAUAUCCCAUAAUCCAAUCCCAUUACCAUACCUUAGUGCUCAUCCAGUAGCAGCUGUACUGGACACAGCUUGAACAGCACCAUCAGUGCAUAAAUUGAUCCAAUUCUCCAGCAUGUGAAAGAUUGGCCUCGGCGUCUGCUGUCUAGAUAAAUCCUUCUUAUGAAAAGAGGCAUACUGUUCUGCCCAUGUAUAAGAAUUAUUCACAAUGUCAACUGCUUUCCAAGGGACCCCUUGGAAGAUGAAAAGGUUCCGAUUUUUCAAUAUUCUCCAAGCUAACAAACCAAGUAGGCUUGGCCGAACAACAUCGCCUGCAAAGAAACGCUCACAUAACACAUUUGGCACAACUUGCAUCUAAGUUUCCUUAGUUGUCGAGCAAUCUUCGAUGGCACGUAAAAUAUAUUAAAAAAAACUCAUCAUACUAAUUAAAUUUAUGUUAUUCCUCUAAUUCUCAGCACUUUAAUAAGAAUUGGAAUAAACACUUAAUUUAAUGGAAUUUAUUAAUUAAAAUGAUUAUGCAUGUGUUAUUAAAAUAAGAUGUAUUAAUUCAAUUAAUAAAUGGUUUUUAGAUACACUCUUAAUUAAAAUAAACUUUUAACUGAUUUAAAUUAAAAAAAGAAAAAAAUAAUAAUAGAAUAUCAAGAUUAUAUAAAUUUUCUUCUAAACAACCACCACCUUACCUUUUUCUUUUUUCUUUUAAUUAACAACCCUACCAUCAACUGCAAUUAUGAUAAUAUAAUGUGACCAUAAACAUAUUUUAAUAAGCAUUUAAAACAUACCUCUGCAGUAGUAAUAAGGUAUAUUAUAUUUUUAAAAAGAGAAUAACAUUUAAAUUUUACAGAUAAAAUUGUUGAAAAGAAUAAUCACGAACCUCCAACAUGAAAAAACAAAUAUAUACAUAUAUAUGUCUUUGUGUUGAAUGAGAUGUGAUGAUCUUGAAAUGGGCACCAAUGCAUGCAUGGUUCAUAUGUAUGGCUUCUAAAGUGGACCGAAUAUAUGUAUAUCCUGGAGAGGUGGGAGACAAAAAAUAUCUAACCCUACAGUUUUAGGCAAUGAGAAAAAAGGCGAUGCAUGAACCCAUAAAAUGCCUCAAAAGUCCACUUUUCUUUUGUCUAUGGGAGUGAUUUUUGGGUUUUGAGAUUUUGGAUAUCCUCUUUUGUCUUUUCAUUCUUUUUCGUUUUCAUCCAACACAAUCAAUUGAGCCAGAAAUACUGUAUAUGUGCCUUCUUCUUUUUUCUAGAAAUGAAUUUAACCCUUUAUCAAUUUAAUCUUUUUUUUAAUUAAAUUUAAUUGUUAACUUCUUUAAAAGAUUGGUGAUCAAAUUUAACUCUUUUUAAAAAAUUAAAUGUCAAAUUUAACUUUAAAAAAACAAGUCAAAUAGACAAAGAUGUGAAUGGCAACGGUAACUGUGAUAUUACCUUUUCUUUUCUACUUUAAUAUACAUUUAAAAUUUAGUGUAAUAACAUGAGAAAAAAAAAUUAUUUAUUGCAACAUAAAAUAAAAGAAUAACUAAUACAAAUUUAAACUUCAAAUUAAAAAUAUGAAAAUAAUAACUCUCGUAGCCAUCAUUGAAAUAUAAAGUUGAUUAUUGGAAAAACUAAAGGAAAUCACAACCAAUAUUAUUACAUUAAAACUGAAAAUGAGAGUACAACAAACAAACAAGCCAUAGUUUGGAGCUUUAAACUCAACAGAGUCAUGCUCCAAUUAUGAAUACAAACAAAGACCCUGCAGAGCCAUAAAGAAGGAAACACACAUAUAACUUGUACAUGAACCAGAAAAAGAAAAAGACCAAACUUUUUUUACUACAGGAUUUGAUGGAAGGUGGAACCUUGAAAAGAAGAAAAGAAAAAAAGAAACUAAAUAACCUCUCUUCAGUUCACUGCAUGCAUGUACAUCUGCAUCCCCACCCUAGAAACUUUUGUCUUCAUGCUUGUAACAAAGACUAAAAUAUCAAACAUGAUGUGUUUUCAAAGGUAAUAAUAAAAGAGGAACAGGGUGGGAAAUGGGACCCAGUUUCACCUAACGCGCAUGCACUAAAUCCUUGGGGGCUCAGGAGGGACCUAGUUUUUACAGCACAUACCACUACUACCAGCCUCCCCAUGCGUUCAAAGCAUUGGUCACUUGACACAUCCCAUGGCAAAAAAACUAUCCAUGAUCAUCAUUUCAGGUCAACAAACAAAACCCUCUUUUCUUUUUUUAAGCAAAAAGAGCUAUUGCAUACCUUGCAUUGCUGCCUUUGUUGGCCCCCCAUUAUAUAAGGCUCCCUUGAGAAUGUAAAAGAUGACAAACAAACCGUCCCCACAGAGCUAAAGCCGGUGUAGUGAUUUCAAAUUCAUCAAUCAUUCUUGGUUAAGACUUUGGUUUUGUUUUUUUUUUUUUUUUUAAUUUCAUCCUUCUUUUCCCACCACUUAGCCAACAAGUUACUCGAAAGUAAGGAGUGUAACCUAGAAGUGGUUCACUCCUAAAGUCUCGGCUUCGAGCUUUAAAGACUUCAAGUAAUCUACAGAUUCAUCAAGGACCAGUAAUGGGUCCUUUCCUUUUGUACCAGGUAUUAUGCUCUCAAGGAUUUUUAGUGUCAAGUGAAUCUUAUCCUUCAUCGACUGUUCAGUAUGUAAAAUCUCCUCUCGGUAGCUUGAUUCUGCAUUGCUGUCAUACUCGUGAGAGCCUUCCAAUUUCACUGAACAAGCGCCAUCCACCAUUAUCAAUUGCUUAUGCCCACCAUUCAGUAGUUUUUGCCUUUUGUUUGGACCAUCAGAACUAGCAACUUGCUCAAUUACAUCAUAAUCAUGGUCUUGAUUCUGAUAGCUUCGCUUAAUUCCAAUUGGAGAGUGAGCGGUGCUCAUUACUUCAUCAUCAUCACAAUCAUCAUCACCGACACCAAAAUCCUCCUCCUCUUCAUCAGAGUAAAGCAAAGCAUUAAGUUCUUCAGUGUCUUCACGCAUCUCACUCCCUUCAACCCCCAAAUGGCUCUCAUCAUAUUCCUUCUGUAAAGCUGGUGGUGUCGGAAUAAGACUAUUUGUCUUAACUGCUUGCACCCCUUCAUGGAUAUCAAGAGAUGAAGCUAGCUCAGUAAUGGCAGUUGCCGCAUGCUGAUGCGGUGAUCGGAAAGAGCCACAAAUUAACCUUGUCUGACUCCCUGAAUGAUCAAAAAUUAUCAGCCCUUUCUGCAAGGAGCCAGACACAAAAUUAGCUGCAGCCCUGCCAGUGUGCCCAUUAGCAAUCUUGAAUUGCUGCUCAUUGAGAAAUGAACCUCGACAGGGCAAUGAAGUAGGGAAACUCGGGUAUAACUGCUGAAGCAACCCAUGAGGUUGAUACUUUUGUUCCGUUUUUAAGACAGAAAUAUCUGCAGACCCUGGCAUUGCAAUUUUUGCAGGAAGCACAUGAGUGCCGUAAUUCAUACCGGGAACCAAAGACCCCAAUUUUGACACACUCGCAGAAAGCAUGUGACUGCUAGGAUUUAUACAUGCAGGCAAGCAUUCUGGCUGCCUGGGCUCUAACGAUGCACUCAUGCAACUUAACUCGGGCAGUUGCCGAGAAGAAUGCUGUGGGAAAACCCAAGAAUUAUUGGUCUUAACCAUCCAACUAGAACAAACUCCUGCAGAUUACAAGUAAUAAUUUUGUCACGGGAACCAAACUAAUAAAUUAAUACCGAUGCAAAACAAGAUGAGGCAAGUGGUAACAACAUACCAGGCGAUGGACAAUGCUCAAUACUGUAGUUUCAAUUUUUAAACUCUUCUUUAAGGAACAAAUGUUGAAAAGAAAAACUUUAUAAAUUCCAGCUUGAUAAUAUACCAAAGAUAAGGAUUCAAUCUACGUGACAGGUUUAAGCAGAUGACGAAAGUACUCAGCCUGGAAAACAUAAAAUUGACAUAAUAUCAGUUUAAACAUCCAUUUAUAAUAAUUAUCGAUACAAAGAAUUAAUUGAAGCAACUGUUGAGUAAAAAAGGAAAUGAAUGAAACUAAAAUUUCAACUAACCUGGCAAUCCUCCAUUGGUUGAAAGCAUGCAAUUACUCUAACUACAAUUGUUGGUUUUCCGGCAAUCCCGUUUUCGUGUUUCAACGCUCUAAAUCUCGUUUGACUAGCUGCUUGGCACACCAUAACUACGUAUUUCUCCUUGGAUUAAUCACUCCUAUCGAUAAUGGAUGAGAACAAAGCUAACCAAAUUGACCAAGAUAUAAGACAAAUAAAAUAUCUACCUAGUACUAAAGAAAUGGUUUGACUGGAAGAAGUGGCAGAAGGAGCUCAAAUUACGACUAGUGUUUAACUGACAAUCUUUUCUAACUAAUCCUAUAUUGAUCACGAAAAAAGGAAAAAAAGUGGGUAGAUCCCAUUGAUGGUCGAACAAGGUAGCUCAUAGAAAAUUAAGGUAAAUUGAAAAGGCAGAAAUUUUACAAAAUAACUCGGCAGUACAAAUUCAAUCGCACAACGAUUCGGAACACAUCAACCAAGACACUCCACCAAGGCAUGCCGUUUCCCUUCUAUGUUUUACCAAAUUGUCCCCAGCUUUUAUGUUCUUUGUUGGUACACAACCAGAUAUUUCUGCAAAAAGGAAAGGUCUAAUUAGAAGAGAGGCACUACUACGAAAAAUCGAAAACAUAAGAUGUGAAUAUGGCAGUCAAAACAGCAUAAACCACUCAUUAAUAUGAAUACGAACAUAACAUAAAACAAUUCUUAUGAAUAUGGAUGAUGCAUUUUUUCUUCAUAGAGCCUAUGUUAACUCUUCAUCUUCUCUAAAGUACCUAUGUUCGACACCAUAUUCAAACAGUAUAUGGGGAUACACUCAUCCAAGCACUUACAUUGAGCCCCAUGAGAUAUCUUAGAAUAUAAAAGUUCAUCACAUACAAAUUCCAAUUUCAUUUCAGUCCCAUCAUUUCUCAUAAUAACACUAAAUAAAUAAACUAAUAUAUAAACCAAGCAAAAUUUAAUUCUAGAAUUAAAUGUAACUACUGAUAUAAACAAAUUUCAUUAUAUAAAAAGGAACACAUGACUAAAAAAUCCUGGAAACUGAAAUAUUAUAAGAAACCCAAAAAAGAAAGAACAAGUACAAUAAACCCUAGAGAGAUGACUACCGAAGAAAGUGAUAAAAGUCACAAAACACCAAAUUCAACUCAAUAUAUAUAUUCUCUUAAUUCUUCAAAAAUGGAAUAUAUAUAAGAUAAAAAUACAAACUAUGAUGAAAUCAACCCCCCCCCCAAAGAAAUUGAUUAUAUAAAACCCAAAGAAGCCUUCUUCUUUUUUUUUCUCCAAAAUUUUAACAAUUUAUCAGAAAUCAACAUCCAAGAACAAGAUCCUCAAAACCCCAGAAAUAAUAUGGGAAAUCAAAGCCUUCCCCCCCCCUUUUUAGUCAACAAACAGAAACAAAACAAGCCCAUCAAGCAAACAACAUACAAGAACCUGUAAAAAGGAAGAAACUUUGAAUAUAAAAACUUACAGAAAAAAAAAACGAAAGCUUGAUAUUAUGGGAUCCCAAAGGUACCAAAGAGAUAAGCUGAAGACAGAAUCUUAAGAGAACUAAGAGAGAAAAAAAGAAGAGAACAGUUAAAACUCAAAAGAGGAAACAAAUGUGUGUAAAAGAGGUGAGUGUGUUAAGGGACAGUGAGAAUAUAUAGAGAAUUUGGUAAUUUGGCUGCCCAAUUUACCCACCAUUUCUUCCGCCAAUUAUUGCUAUGCUAUACCAUUUUUUCACUGUUCCAUGUACAGUAAUUUACCCAUUUCAGUGGUUAAAUUAAAUCUUUAAUUACCGUUGGUUUAUUUUUCCUUUACAUUUUUAUUGACUGAAUUUCAAUAAACGGGCCUGUAUUUGAUCCAGGCUUAUUAAACUAAGCCAUGUUUCUCUUUUUCCAAGAACAAAAAUCAUUUUUUUGGGUAAAAUUUUAUAAUCUAUUAAUAUAUUAAGGUAAAUCUAAUCAGAAAUUUAAUAGAUUUUAUAUAAUAAUUUUAAAAAUAUAAUUUUUAGUAAAUUCAAUUCUGUUUCGGAUAACCAUAAUUUUUUUAACAUUAAUCAUUAAUCUCAAUAAAUUUUUAUCCUAUCCGCUCUUUUUGCUAUAAUAUCUAAAACUAUCAAUAGUCCCUUCUCAACCUUUAAAUAGGUGAAUAAUUCGCUUCAUCACACUUGAACUCACAUCCUCCUACACUGAUAAAAAUAUCAAUACUAAUCGAAAUAAGACUCAAUUAACACUAUAUUAAAAUAUUUCAAUUUGAGUCCAUUUUCAAUUUUUUUUACUCUACCCUAUACUACAUUUAGUUUUUUUUUUUUUAAUCGCAUAUAGGUAAGAGGUCUUUGGUUCAGGGUGUAGCCAAAGGGCAGAGGCCUGGUUGAAUGGUUUAAUUGUUAUUUUAGUACUUUCCAAUAUAAAUAGUUCAAUUUCAUUCUCUUUAGAUUGUUUUAAAUAUAAAAUUUGUAAAUUUUGGCUCAUUUCAAAAGUUAAAAAGUUCAAUUAAAGUCAUUUUAAUACAAAAUUUUAAACUUUGUGUCCCUCUCCCUGUAACAUAAUUUUUAACUUCAGCUCUACCCUGAUUUACACUUGAAGAGCACACUUUAAAAUGAUGAAUAUUUAUUGAAUUAAUAGACAUUGGAAGAAAAUAAUAUUGAUUUAUGCUCACGAUGACAACACUAUACAAUCCCAAAAAGAUACUCUAUCUACCCGUGUCAAAAUUGUAUUUUGACUUUCAAAAAUAAUAAAUUUUUAAUUUAAUCUUUUAAAAAUUAUAAAUAUAUAAAUUAAUAAAAUAAUAAAAUUAUAUUUUAACUCUCGUAAAAAUACAUAACUCAAUUCCAGCCCCAAUCCUCGGAAGAGUGGUGAAAUUAUCUAAUGUUUGAGGUGCUGAAAAAGCAUGCAACAUGUAGUGAAUGUUAAGAAGAUGAAGCAGAGAGACAAAAACACGUGCCAUACACUCAUUGGCAAUCUAAGCAGGUGAUUACCCAAUUCAAAGAAAAAUUUACUAAGUUGUAACAAGUAAUGAGCCAUGAUCCCACAACAAUAAUGGUAAAGUGUGAGUUGGGUGGGACGUUUUAGAAUUAUCCAGUCCUCCACCUCCAUCAAUCAUUUUUCUAUUUUAAUUAUAAUCCUCGUGUAUUAAACCUCAUCCCCAAAUUAUUUAAAUCAUAAUUUUUGGGUAUUUUAAGAGAAUUUUAAGGUAGAUUGAACCAUUUUUUUUAAUAAAAGCAAAUAUUUUUUUAUUGAAUUGUUCAAUCGACAAUGAUAUUUUAAUUUUAUUAUUAAAUUUUGAAUAUAAAAAAUAUUUUAUUGAAACUAAAAUUGUAUUUUAUUGUGCAAUGUCAAAUUACUAGACCUGUCUCACCCGACUUAAAUUUAAAAAAACAAAACUAUUUUUUUUGUUGUUUUUACUGUUUUUGCUGUUAUUUUCUUGUUGUUUUCUUACUAUUUUGUUACCAUUUUAAUAUUAUAUUGUUACUACUUGAUUGAAUAUUGUAUUAACUCUUGUUUUAUUGUUAAUUUUGUUAUUAUUUUAAAAACAUUUACUUGUUAAGUUGCACCUAUCUUAAUAUUAUUUAAGUAUAUAAUAUUUUUAAUAUUUUUGAUUUAUUAUAUAUUUUUUUAAAAUUAUAUUAAAAAAAAUAUUUCAUUGAAACUAAAAUUGCAUUUUAUUGUGCUUGAUUGAUCAUUUUUGUUUAUAUUUCAAUAAUAUAAAAUUGAGAUUAUAAAGUAGAUGCAUUGAUAUUGUACAUUUAAGUUUUUUCAUUCAAUUAGUAACUCAAAAUUAAAGAUGUAAAUGCGUGGGGUGAUCUUAAAAAAUGAGAGGGUUUGGAUAAAAAAAAUAAGUCUUAAAAAUGGGUUUGGUCAAAAAAAUAAAACCUAUUUAAAAAAUAGGUGGACCUUAGGUAGGGUUUUUUUGCCUAGGCCAUCCUAGCCCGAAUUUGCAAUAGAAAAAAUCUUUUUUUGUUUUGCUGUUGUUUUCUCAUUUUUUGUUACUGUUUUGUUACUAUUUUACUAUUAUGUUGUUACUAUUUGUUAUUAGUGUUUAGAUAUUGUAUAACACUUGUUUAAUGUUAAUCUUGCUACUAUUUUAGAGGCAUUUGCUUGUUAAGUUGCACUUAUUUUAGUAUAAUUUAAAUUUAAAGAUUUUUUUAAAAUUUAUUUUGAAUUUAUUGGGAAAUAUUUAUUUUAAUAUUUUUAGUAUAUUUGGUGUAUUAUAUUUUAUAAUUUUUAUAUAAAAAAUAAAAAUUUUUAAAAAUUAACACGGCCAAGCCGGGCCCAAAUUUUGACAUUUUUAUCUGGGUCAGACUUGAACUAAAAUUUAGACUCAUUAUUUGGGCCGGGCCAGGCUGAGCCUAUCAACUGAGCCUAAAACUCUGUUAGGGCCUGGCCCGGCCAAUGGACAACUCUACUCAAAACUCAUAAAAAAUUAAUUAAUUAAUUAAAAAUUAAUAUAUUUUUAUAAACUUCAUGUCCGUUUUACAAUACAUAUUCGGGGUUCGUGGCUACCAUUCCUAGCAAUGUCGUCUUCCUCCCCUCAGGAAUGUUUAAAAUUAUAUGCAAUUCAUGUUAUGUUAAAUUUAAGAGUUGAUGAUUUGACUCAUUGUGUAGCAAAUGCAAAUUGUUAGUUAACUUUACUCAUCAAUUUCAAUGCAUUUAAUAAAAAUAAUUAUGACAUAUAAUAACUUUGAAAAUGGUACCUUAUGUGUAAUUAGUGGAAAGAUUUAACCCCAUAAUAAUAAUAAUUUGUAUUUUAAUUGAAAGAUAUAAAAGUGUUGAAACUUUGAAUAAUCACUAGGCAAUGCUUUUAUAAAAGCAGCCAUGCUUAGAAAGCUUCUUUAAUUAAUUAAUUAAUUAAAUGUGCUGAAUAAAGCAAAAUAAAUACAAAAAAUUAAAAUUAAAAAAAAAGGUAUAUUAGGUUGGGAUUUUGGCAUCGCAAUACUUAUGCCAUAACAUGCACAAUAUAUACUUCUAAUUUUAAUUAAAAUUGAAGUCUACAUAUUAAACUUUUGGGGGUUGCUAUAUGCCACCGUUAAUUGUGGCGUUGAUGGAGAUUUGUAAAUUCAUAGAAUACUUCCCAAAUUUCAUAGCUACUACCUUUAUUCUUUUUAUUAAAAUAAUAAUAACGGGUCGAUUGAGUCUUAUCUUGAUUGAUAUCGGUAUUGUUAUCAGUGCAAGAGAACAUGGGUUUGAGUGCGCUGAAACACAUUAUCCUCCUAUUUGGGGAGGGGCUAUGAGUAGUUUUAGGCAUUGUAUCAAAAAGAACCGAUAUGAUAAGAACUUAUAAUGAGAUUAUUAUUCAAAAUAAUAGUAAUAAUAAUGGAGCAAUGAAAUUUUGGUAUUAUAGGUAAAAGUUGAGCUUUUAGGUAUUUAAUUAUUGGUAUAACGAUUUAUUUGGCACUCCUUCAACUUUACAAAAAAAAAAUAUUUUAGCUUACCAUUUAAUUUUUUUUAUCUCUUUUAGUCCUUGAACGUGCGCUAUUUAUCAAACCAUUCUCCAAAUGGAUUGUAUGCCACAUCAACAACAUUAUACUAGGGGCAUAGUUAGGGGGAUGGUAGGGGUUGACCCCUAUAAAAUGAAAAAAAUUUCAUUUAGGACUUUUAAAAUUUUAAAUUAGUAAAGUAAAAUUACACUUUAGUCCCCCUAAAAAUAAUAAAAAAAUCAAUUUAAUCCUUGAAAAAUUAUAAAGAUUUAGGGUAUUAAAAUGGUGAAAUCACAUAUUUACUAUCAUAAAAAUUAUAAUUUAAUUCAGCCUGCACUAAAAAAAAUUUAUGGCUUCGCCCCUAUGUUAUACGUUAACUUUUUCAUCCAUUUUAAGAUGAUUUGAUAAACAACUCAAGUUCAAAGACUAAAAAAAGGUGAAAAAAUAAAAUGAGAGCUAAAAUGAUUUUUUAAAAUUGGAGGGCUAAAUAAGUUAUUAUGCGUUAAUUAUUUAAAUUCGAGUCUCAUUAUUCUUAAUUACUGUGUGAGCCUCCAAUCUCACCAUGCACAAUCAAUUACCAAGAUUUUAUAAUUUGAAUUCGAUGCAGUGGAUAAAUUAGAUAAACCAGCUUGAUAAAUCAAAUUUGAAUUCGAUGUAAUGGAUAUUUUGUAAUCCAGUAAUUAUUGUCGGUUUGUUGAAUUGCAAUUAAACUCGGCCCAAUCUUUUACUAAAAGGAUUGAGCUAAUUAUAUUGUCUAUAUUUUUUAUAGAUAUAUUUUUAUCUAGAUAUAUAAGAUCUUAGACACAAAAAUAAAAGACUAAGGGUGAGUUUGGAUGGGCGAUUGGGUGCGGUGCGGUGCGUUUAGCUUACUUUUUCUCUCACGCUACAGUAUCGCUACAGUAUCUAAUCUCACCUCCACCGCUGUUUUUACACUAACCGCAGGUCAACGCACCGCCCAUCCAAACCCACCCUAAACACAACUCAAAUUUUCUCCUGGGUCCAUAAUUAAUCCUAUGUAUGGAGAGUCAUAUUCCAAUUCUCCAUCCGUAUGUAUUUGUAUUCGUUAUUGUAUGGCCGUUUUAUCUAUAAACUCUAAAAAGAAAAUAAAAUAGAUCAAUAACCAACGAGGCAUUAGCAUUGUUAGCAAAGGUUGAGGCCCUGAUCUUUAGAUGCUCAAUGUGAGAAGCCGAACUUAGACCAAAAUAAAAUUACCUAAAUAUACUUUAAAUCCCAAACAAUUUUCUUAUAGAAACUUUACUUCGUAUUAUAUUAUUACAUUAUUAGAAGAUAGAGGUUAGGAUUGAAUAUAGACAUAUUUGUUUAAAAAAUAUAUGUACUAUAUCAUAUUUAAAUAUUUAUACAUGUAUUGAAUAUGAUUACUUUUUAAAAUAAAAUUUGAAAAAAAUUAGACAAUAUGACAUGAAAUUGAAAAAUUACCUCAAUAGGCAAGAAAGCAACACUUUAAACAAAAUUAUUAAUGACUCAAGUUGCAAUAGAAAUAAGAUUUUGCAGAAAACAAAAGCUCAAACAAAUUCAUGAUCUAUAAAACAUAUUUAAUAGUUUCAACUAGAGUUGCUCAGGUUUAAGCAUGAUAUUAACAUAUUUUAUAUUGUCCAAGUUUGGUCUAACCUGAAAUAUAAGUCUAAAUUUUUGCUCAAACUUACUCGUAUUUGUAAAUAGCUAAUCCAAACUCAUUUUAAACCCCUUCAUUUUUUUUGAUAAAUAUUUAAUACAUUUUUAAUUUAAUAUUUUAUAAUUAUAUACAUAUUUGUUUAUUAACAUUUUAUAUAUAGAUAAUUUAAUAAUUUUUAAUAUUUACAUUAUAGUAUUAUAUAUUAUAAUAUAUUUAAUUUUUAUGUAUUAUAUAACAUAGUAUACUAAAUAACAAAUUUAUUUGAAUGUAACGGUCCUACUGUUGUAGUAAAUUUGGGUUGAAUUUUGGAAUUUUUAUUUAAUGCAUGUAAAGAAUCUUUCACUUACAGCUUUUGGUUAAAUGAUACAUCUCCUCAAUUUUUAAUAAUUUAAAUUUAAAUUUGGUUAAACCAAUUUCGUUGUUCAUCGUUAAUUCAACGAUCAAAAAUCUUUGAGCAGCUUCCUCACUUUCUCCAAUGUCACAAACAGCACCACCGUGAACGGUCCUUGCCUUGAAAUUGUGGGGAUGAAGCCUUUGUACAAUGCCAUAGGCCCCUCCGCUCUUACCGUCUUCAAUGCACAAUCCAAAGCACCCGAGUACGGCGGUUCCGCCCCAGGCGCCACCUUCAUGUUCAUCACCCUCGUCUUGAUCACGUCAAUGGGGUUGGACGCCACUGCCGCCACGAACCCCGCCGCGAAGCUGGCCGUUACGUGGGUUCCGAUCCCAUCACCCAUCACUCCUUUUUCCAGUAUCGUCUCCUUGACUUGAUCGUACGUCGCGAGCUGCGAUGCCGUGACGAUCAUUGCGCGAUUCACCGUGAGAGCUGAGCCGCGCCACAAGCUACCCACACCUUCUUGUUUUGUCAUUUGACUCAAUGCAUCGAUUACACUCUUGUAAUUGCGUCGCUGAUCAAUAGGGAGUCGCCCAUCAGCUUGCAUUCGAACCAUUGCUACGUCAGCGGGGUUGCCAACGGCGGCGCCGACACCCCCGGCAAUAAGUCCAGCCAAUAUCUUGCUCGUAAGUGGCAAAUUCCCAGUUUCCUUGUCAGUCCAUUUGUUCUUUAUAAUUUCAUAAAGUCCCAUACGGGUAGUAGAAUACAACGUUUGUCGAAGCAUCGUGGCGGAGACACCGGAGAAAAGAGCCGCUACACCUUCCAAUUGGAUGAUACGGACACCGAUAGAAAUGGGACCAACACGAGGUUGCGAGAUCGAAACAUUCCCAACGGCAGCAGAGUUGAACGGCAAGUGCCGGACGAUAAAGUUGAAGGGAAGGAUUAGGGAGAUGGGAUUCACCUUGAAGUUGCAUACGGACCUUGAUAAGGUCGAGAGGAUGAGUUGAAGCGCCGGCGACGAUAGAUGCAAUGCCUCCCUCAACGAAACCUUUCAAACCCAUGGUUGCAAUUGGAGAAAAGCAAGGAAGUAAAAGAGAGAAAAUGGAAGAAAUGUGUGUUGUGUUGGAAAGAAGUGCAGGGAGAGUAGAUUUAUAUACACAACAAAGGGAUUGAAGUUGGAAGAAGGAAUGUGAUGGAAACCUUCUUGGUUGUUCAAUUAUUAAAUGUUCAACGCGGUGGUGCGUUAUUAAUUGAAGCAUAUUAGGUCGUGUGCUGUUGACUUUGACGGUACUUUUUGCUUUUUCAAUUGUGGGUACCGGCCUAUACCAAUGGCUACGCAUUGCAAUUGCAAUUGCAAUUGCUUUGACGGUGUUUUAAUGGCUACGCAUACUUUGAAUUUGCUCUAUACCAAUGGGGCUGGAAGAGAUCAGGUCUGCCUGCCCAAUUUGCAUGUUUAGGUCACUCUCACCAUUCAACUUGAGCUGUUAGAGAGCAGUCUAUUUCAGAAAUUAAAACACAACUUUCCCAUCUUGUCUUUGUCUCUUAAUGCUGAUUAUAAACCCAUUUAAUUGUUAAUGUUUUAAAAAUACAUUUUACUACCUACAAUAGGGAUUUGGCUUAUGGUAUUUCAAUAAUAAAUUUAGGGUAAACUAUCAAAACAAUCACUUUUUUUUACCUCAGAUUACAUUUUAGUUAUUUAAGUUUAAAAUGUUACGUUUUAGUCACUUACGUUAUUGCAUUAUAACAUUUUAGUCAUUGAGCCAUUAAUUGUUAUUAACGGUGUAACGUUAAGCUGGCAUGUCAUAUUAAAUCAUCAUUUCAAACAAAAAUUUUAAGUUAAUUUAUACAAUUGGUCCUAUAUUUGUUUCGUUUUGAACAAUUUAAUUUUUUUUUCUUUUAUAUUUUUUUAACUUUUUUUAUCUUUAUUUUCCAUUCUCUUCUGCUUCCCCCUCUGUUUCUCCAUUUUUUUAAGGUAGUUUUCCUAUGUUUUCUAUUUGUUAAAACUAGUCCAUAUACUUUUAUUUUUUUGAAGAAUUUAAUUUUUUCGAGUGAGACAAGCUUUUGAACUAGUUUUAAUAAAUGAAAAACAUAAAAAAAUUACGUUAAAAGAAAUAAAGAAGGGAGAAAAACAGAGAGAGAAGCAAAAGAGAAUGAGAAAAAAAAGUUUAAAAAACAUAAAAUAAAAAAAUAAAUUACUCAAAAUAAAAAAAAAUAUAAGGACCAAUUGAAGAAUUUAACUUAAAUUUUUUGUUCGAAUGCCACAUUAGCUUACCGUUACACUGUUGACGAUAAUUAACAGUUCAAUGACUAAAAUGUUACAACACGACAACGUAAGUGACUAAAAUAUAACAUUUCAAACACAAGCAACUAAAAUGUAACUUGAGACAUAUAAAAGUGACUAUUUUGAUAGUUUACCCAUAAUUUUAUACAAUUUCUUUUAUAAUUUAAUUUCAUAUCUAUUUUUCGAAUAAAUAAACUAAAAUUUGGGAUCAACAGUAAAUAGUUAAAGCUUCUCUUCAACUAAAGUAAUAGGAAAACUAAAAAAAGAAAAGAUAUUUUUAUUUGUAAAUAAAUUUAACCAAAAUUAUAAAAUUAAUAAUACAUUCAUUACAAGCCUAACAUUUUAGGUGUAUUUAAAUAAACAAAAUAUCAUAAUUUUUUUCUCAACUAAUGGUAAUCGAAAAAUAUAUCAAAGAGCUUAAUAAUUUAAAUUAUUAGCUUUUACUAUUUUGUUUCGAUUUAAACAAAUUAAAUACAAUAAAAUUGUCAAAAAUAUCACGUUAAAAUUAUCUAAAAAAAAUAUUGAAUUUACUCUCAUAUUUUGAAAUCUUUGCAUUAUUAAAAAUGUAAAAUUAUGAAACCGCUGUACUAAAUUGAAAAAGACAAACUAACCCAUGAACAUUAAAAAUUUUAUCGAUGAAUAAUGACAUGUAUCAAUUUGCUCUUUGAUCUAAGAUGCAAAAAUUAAUAUAUCCAUUUUUUGAGUAGAAGGGGUAAAAUGCAAUAUAAUUCGAUAUAACUCUAAUACAGGACCUUCAUUUUAGAGAAAAUGUUAUAACAAAAUUUCAAUUUGCACUAAUUGAUGAAACAAACCUUAUUAUAAAACUCAGAUCUUAAUUAGCUCAAAGGAGCACAAAAAUGCAUGUCGGCCGGGCUUGAGAAGAAGAACAAAUAAAGUCACUACCUUACCUGGAGAAACUGCUGCGGAGCAUCUCAUAUUAUUAGAAGAAAAAGUCAACACUGAAGAGCUGUCAUACAUGAAUAAGAUGACUCAUAUUGAUACUCAUUUAAUAUUCAUACAUGCUACCCCAUAAUAUCUAUAUAUGUUCAUCACAGGUGAGUUAUUCGGGCUACAUAUUAUUUCUCGACAGUCACCAACAGCCUGCUACUCACUUCAAGCUUAGGACUUCAAUCUCGAAUUCGAGAACCGAGUUUGGCUGUAUUCCCCAUGCAGGAAACCCACCAGCACCAUAAGCAUAGUCUGGGGAGCACUGCAGACAUGUAUAAAAAAGGUCCAUCAGAAGCUUCAUCGAAGCAUGCAGGGACCCUCGGCGGACCGAGGGACAAGAUAUUGCAUUUCCAACAAAUCCAACACAUACAGAAACUUGAGGUGUCAUAACGUAGGUUAUGACACAACAUAUAGAAACAGGCACCCUGAUUCUUUUCUUGAAAACAAAAAGGAAAGGAAGAGAUAAAACAACAAAAGUUUGGAAUUUUGUGGUAUUGACUUAUCAACCUUGCAUUGGGAGGCCCAAGAUAUACUUUUAUGAUAUGAAUUAUCAUUCAUGGCAUUGAUCUAAACAUUUCAACUUCAAAUAUGUAAUUGCAGUACAACUAAGUACACUUGAAAUGAAUUCAGAGUUUGGUGAAACAGUACCCGAAGACGAGCAACUUCUGCCACUUGCAUUCCCAUCACACCUUCAUCCCAUCCUACAAAAGGUAGAACAUAACUUUUAGUUCCCCCCAAGAUGAGGUACUAGGUAUUCCACAAUAAGCAAUAAGACGUGCAAAAAAAGAAAUAGAAAGAGUAAAGGCAGUCACCGCAAAUAAGCAAUGCUUGUUUCCUAAGUUUCAAAAAAGCAUCAAGCAUUCUUUCUUCUUUUUUUCCUUCUCAAUAGAUAUUGAGUUCAACCAACAUGCACAUUAUAGUUUGUCCUAAAUAACAGAUUCUUUUACACCAUUACAUUAUAAGAUCACCUCUUCACCAAUCUAUAAAGUGGAGUGGUAUAUAGAUCAUCAACUUAUGGUCUCGAUUGACAUAAUUAAGACAAAUUUAUAAGCAUUCAGUUGGUCAUCUAUCAACUACACAACUUGAUGGGGAAAGAACAUGAAAUUUCAUCACUUCCAAUGGCCAAUGAGGUUGAUGUCACCAACAAAAAAUGCACUCGGAUAUGACAAAAGACAAGGUGCUAUAGAAGACAAUGGUAAAAACAAGUUCUACUAGAAAAUAAACCACCAUUCAAAUCGAAAAUUUCGAUAUAUCAAACUUUAUGACACAACUCGAACCAAUGCAUUCACAUUCUUUAAUCAAAAUACCCAAAAAAUAAAGUUUCCUGCUUUAGUAAAAAAAACCAUCAAAUUUUGUGGAAUAUUAUGGAACUCAGCAAGGUAGGAACCUAGCAACAAGCCAUUACAAUUUACCUUUUAUAACAGAGCCCUUGCCAAUUUGGAAAGAGAAAGGUUGCUGCCCUGGAUCCUUUGUGCUAAAAAAUGGAUACAAACAGAGAAAUAAUCAAUAAUUCAAAAUUAACAAAGCUGUGUUAGAAAGAAGAGAAAAAAAAACCCCCAAUUCGUCAUUCUGGUAGAAAACCAUUACUCACCUCCAGAAUUUCUCAGACAAAUCUCCAUUUUUCCCUGCACCCAACAAAAUAUUAUCAUCAAACAUAGAAACAAAAAAAUCGUGUAAACAGCACCGAAAAGCAAGCAGUUUUUCAUCAAAUUAGGGCUUUUAGGGAAACCCCUUUUGAUUAAAUAAAAUAUUGAUGACUCAAAAAUGAAAAAAACGAAACAGAUUUUUUUUUCAGCCAGAGAGAAAAGCAGAGAAAGAGAAAUAGCAACCGUAGCCAGUGCAGUGAACGGUGACGGUCUGACCGGGGGUGGGUUUGGGACCGGUUCCAGGCCUGAUGACUUGCUUCUCUACUCCCAUUUUUCAGGUUUGAAUGACAAUCUAACUGGAUUUUCUUAGGGUUUUUGCUUUCUGUUGUCGGCGGUAAUUAUCAGGUAGUCAAUAAAUACAGUCGAGAUUCGAGAGUAUUGCAGGCAAACCGGGGGGGUAUCUUGGAAACGGGCCAGGCCCAUUAUAGGAUGCUUUGGUUAAAAUUAGAUUGAGGGUUUUGUUAUGGGUAGAGGGCCACGGGUGAUCAGUAGUCUCCCGUUUACCCUUGGUUUUGGCAUAAAUGCACCACAAUCAUCUGUUUGAAUCAUCAGUCCAAUUUUUGUACUGCACUGAAACCCUCAGUUUUGACUGAAGCAUUGCCCUACAGUGAAAAAGAAGGAGUCCUUCCUUAGUUGACAAUAAUGCCUAUACUUUUAUUUAUAAUUAUCAUUUUAUCUAAUAAAUAUUUUUAAUUGAUUAUAUAAUUAAUUAAAAUAUUUAUAAUAAAAUAUCGGAAGAUACAUUUUAAGAUUUUAUUAAAUGAAUUUAUAAAUUCACAAAUUUUUAAUAGUUUAGUAAAAUAAUCUAGAAAACUUUCUAUUUAUAUACCAUUUUUAAUCUAAUGUCCUUAAUGGUCAUUUUCUAUUCUCACAUCAUCGCUACAGCUACGUUUGAAUCCAAAUACACACCUCAUGGUUGUUUCUAUUCUCACCGCUACAGUAUCUAAUCUCACGGCUACAAUAACUAAUCUCACUGCCACCAUUGUUUUUAACCUCAUCGGAGGUAAACACACUAUCCAUUCAAACUAAAGCCUUAGUCUCUGUACUAUUAAAAAGAAUCAAAUAAGGCUAAAUUGGAAUAAAGUUAACAUUUACGGUAUAAAAAAUAUCAUUUACUGUUUAACAAAGUUAAUAUAUUUAAAUUUUUUAUGGUUUUGUAAAUGAAAUCUUUAGUCUGGAUUGAAAUUGCAAUUGAUUUUUUAAAAAACAUCUUUUAUACAAUAAAUGUUAACUUUGUUACAAUUUGGACUUAUUUGAUUCUUCUCAAUAGUAUAGGGACUAAAUUGAUCCAUUUACUAAUAGAGGGACUAAUUUGAUACAAUUCCUAUAAUAUAAUGACCUUUUAGGUACUUUAACCUAUUAAUAUCAUACAUAAUUAUUCAAGUUUGUUCUAUUUAAAAUAUUAGUCUCAUAUUUUAUUUAAGUAAGUAAUUCAAUUUUAUUUAGACUCGUUCAUAUUAUUUUUAAUUUUAAAAAUAUAUCUUGGACUAUCAUUAUACCUUUAAAAUUAUAUUUUUAAGUAUAAAAAAUUAAUAUAUAUUUUUUAAUAUUUGUGUUAUAGUAAAAUAUAUUUAACUUUCAUAUAAUAUAAUUUAUAUAAAUAUAUAAAUGAAAUGAAAAAUUACAACCUGAAAAUCAAGGGUAGCUAAGGGAACAAAAAAAUUUCUAUUUAGGUUCUUUAAAAUUUUUAAUAAAGGUAAAAUUAUAUUUUGGCUCAUUUAAAAAUGAUAAAAAAUUGAUUUAAUCAUUUAAAAAUUAUAAAGAUAUAAGCUAUUAAAAUAAUAAAAUUAUAUUUUUACUAUCGUAAACAUUGUAAUUUAAUUUCGAUCCCUGAAAAUUUUUUCUAACUUUGUCCUUACUAAAAAUGAAUAUAAUUAUUUUUAAAUUUUGAAUAUUAAAAUUCUAUCAUCAACUUAAUUCAUAUUUUAAACGGAUUUAAUACAUUAUUUUGUAGUUGAAGAAAAUCAUGAUAAUUGAAGUGAUGCAGUUGCAUGCAGGUAUUGAGUUUGAAAAAGAAAAAGGGCAUACUCAGCAAAUCAUGAUUGAAGAUGAUGCCUUGCAGGUGACUAAAGGCGUUGGGUAGGCAUGAUGUGGAUUUUUGUUUUCUUUUUCCGAUAUCGACACAAGCCAAGGGAAAGUUAUAGGGGUACAUUUCGAUGUUUGUCAUGUUAGGCGCCAAGCCAAGUAGCUAACCGAGUAGUUUAGUGGCGGAUGUGACAUUAAAUUUAAUGGAUUUAGUAGUCGAUUCAUAUGAAUAUUUUUGUUAAUGUAAAAAGAUGUGAGUUUGAGUGUGUAAAAGUGUAUUAUCUUCCUAUUUACAAAUUAUGGGAGGGGCUAUGAGUAGUUCUAGGCAUUGUAUAAAAAGAGCAGAUAUAACUAGAACCUAUAAUGAGAUUAUUCGAAAAAAAAUUCAGGGGUUUAGUAAAAUUUCUUUUAAUUAUAAUUUUUUAAAAUUGGGGAUUUAAUUGAAAACUUUUAUGAAGUUAAUAAAAAUUUUAAAAAAUUUGAAGGAUCUAAUUAAAAUUUUCAAAAAAUUUCAAAAAAAUAUCAAAAUUUUUCAAAUUUUGGAGGGGCCAAAAAGAUUCGCCUCAUGUAGCUCAUAUAAAUUAUCACAUGCUAUUUAUACUGAGUUUGUCUUUACACAAGGAUUGAUUUUGAGGCCUAAUUUUCCAUUAUUAUUGUGGUUGAAAAGUGAUUUUUAAAAAAUUUAACAAUCAAGCCUAUUCAAUUAUUUGGUUACUCGUUUCACCUAACUCUUUAUCUUUUGGGUGCUACAAAUAAUGUAAUAUAAUAAUAUAUAAAUUAGAAAUUAAUUUAACUUUUUAAAUAAUUAAUAUAAAUAAUGAUAUUUUGAUAAUUUUACCAGGCAAAAGACCUAAAUCUCACCUUUUACAUUUGAAUGAAAAACACUUUUAUGACAACACUCACUCUAAAAGCCAAGUAUUUUUCAUUGUUUUUUCGUGGUUGAAAUGUACUUUUGGAACCCCAAACACAAUGGAGAACAAUGCCAUCUUAUGUGUUUUGGAUUGAUACGGUUCGAAUGGAGAGUUCUUUUUUUCAAACAAUAGAAGCUUUCAUUUUCGAAAAUAUUAGAUUCAAUUUAUUGAGUGGAGGCUAAACAAAAAGAGUUAUUUUUUUAAUACAAUAGCUAAUAUAGAUAUGUUUAAGUGUGUUCAAACUCAGGUCCUAACAACGAUUUUAACCGAAUUAAACUUAGUCUAAUCUUAUUGAUAACUUAGUCUAAUCUUAUUGAUAAUAAGGUUUAAUUGAAUAAGCAAUCCUCAAAUUGAAACUAGCCUCUGCUAUUAUCUCUGUUAUAAAAACCACUUCAUGUGUCAUUUUUUAUCGAUAUAAUCAUGUAAAUGAAUUUAAAUAUAUAUAUUAAUGAUCCAAAUAUAAAAAAAAAAAGGUGUAGUUCAGAGAAUAAAAUAUGAAUUAAAGGAAACUCAUUCUAUGUAAAGCAAUUUGAAAAGGCCAAAAAUAGUGUGACAUUAAACCAUUUCAUACAAUCUCAUUUUCCUGAUCAGAUCAAUAAUGGUUACCCACAUGAUGGUCCUUCCUUUGUCAGAGUAAGCUGCUGAUAGUACUUGAACUUAUUUUAGAAAAAACCCCAAUAAUUUACAUUGCUUAGAAAAUGAAAUGAGACGGCACCGACAUGGUAAAAGGUGAGUUAUCGCAUGGUGUUUUACCUCUCCUCUACUUCUCAUUUUACUUUUGUUGUUUCUUUAAAAGACAAUUUUUUAUAUGCUAUUGGAAAAUUACAUUAAUUAUUGCCACACUGCAUCUUUAUUAUUAAGAAAAGGAACAUCAAAACAACAAUCAACAUCAACCACCUUGCUUAAAGAGAUAAUAUGGUUUUUAUUUGGGGAAAAAUCACAUCUAAACUCCCCCACAUAAACCCUCCUAAAACAUCACACACACACACACACACACAAGCAGUAGAUGCAGUUUCAUAGUACGAAAAGACACCAUCUGUCUUCUAAUCGUGACUUAAUUGGUAAUUUUCAUUCCCACCAUUGAUGCACUGCAACUCCUUCAUCCCUCAACCUACCAUACAAAGCUACACAUUCCCAAUAAGCCCUUUUAUUCUUCUUCCUUUUCUUUUUCCUCAUCUUCUUCUUCUUCUUCUUCUUCUUCACUUCAUCUUGCCAUUGAUUGUUACACUCAAAGAACAAUUCAUCCACCAAUCCAAUUGUUUUCCUUUCUAUCAUCUUCUCCACCACUUCAGCUUCUGCUUUCAUUACAACGUAAUCUUCUUCUCUUACAUUCAUCAUCAACCAAUCUGAAACGUCGAUGCUCGCAGUUGCUUCGAUGCUGUAAACCUCAAAUUCUUGGUUCCUUUUGGGGUAGUUUUCCUCAAACCAUUUCAUCACAAUGUUCUUAUCAUCAUCAUCGUUGGAAGAUCCCACAUCGAUGAACACUCUACGAGGGUAAUUUUCAAGAGAAUCCCCUAACAAAUCUGGCAAGAAGUUGAUUUUCUUCAAGUAAGAAUGUGAUUUAGCCCAUGCUUUUCUUGGUGGUUCAAACAAAACAUCUUCCAAACCACUCAAUGCUGCCUUUUUAGCUUCCGUUGUUAACUGAAAAAGCUUCCUUUUAGCUGAAGAAUCCAAUAAAUGGUUCUUUGAACCAAGCUUCUUCAUUGCAACAAUGGUGGAAUGAUAUUUCUUAAGAUACACAAUUAUAUAAUCAGAUUGUUUUUGAUAACCUGUUGAGAUUUCAUCACCUAAUUGCAUAGCAACAAUGCCACCAAUUUUCACUAAACGAUCCACAAACUUGGAAUCGAUAGAACCCGACACGAAAACAAAAUCAAACUCGUCAUUUGGUAAAGAACUUUGUCGAUGAAAAUCAGGUUCAAUCACCAAAUCAAUGUCACCAUUGUUUAUAAACAUGGAACCUUCAUCAUCAUCAUCAACAUCAUCCAUGCUUUCAAUGAAAGAGUUCAAGAUGAGAGCUUUUUGCCCUUUUUUUAUAAGACCCUCAUUAACAAAAUCUCCCCAAAGCAAAUUCCAGUAAUCCAAGCUGAUACAACCAGAGCUUUGAUGAAACUCCAUGGCAUUAAAAAUUGGGCUUGAAGGUCCUUUUAAGAAGGACCUAAUGCAAGGCAAAGUGAUAAUCACCGUCGCUAAAAACAGCGAACGCGACAGAACAAGUAAGAACCUUGGAUCAGGUAGCUUAAUAAUCAAAAGAGUGUCUGGAUUUAACGAAAUCCUUGAACUCUGCAACUGAUUGUAGCUAUGGGGUUUUGGUCGAGACCGACCACCUCCCAUCUCCAUUUCAAAUGGUCGGAUCUGUAGCUAAAAGAGCUUAAUUUUCGCCUGGUUUGGCUAAAGGGUACCUUUUGAUUGCUGGGAAAAAGAACCCUUACCCUUCGCACAAAUUUGUGAAAAACAAAUGAUAAAAACAGAGACAAAAUCUAAACACAGCUAAGAAAAAAAAGAUGCUUUAGCGAGUACAAAAUCUAGCAGCAGUGUGGUUACCACCCAAAAGAGCAACACAGGGUCGAGUUCUGCAACAAAGGAAAAGCAAUGACCUAAACCUUUCUACCUCCAUGGCUGUUCUACUUCUCAAAAUCCCCCUUUUGUGUGUGCGUGUGUGUGUUCAGAUCAGAUGAGUGAAUUUCCAGGAAAACCCAGAUUCAAGUUUCCUGGAGAUGGAAUUAUGAACAAAGAAAAAGAGAAAUGGAACCAUUAGAGGAUGAAGGGGGAGAGUGAUGAAAAGUGGGUUCUUUUUUGGUCAGCUUUAAAAUAGGGGAGAGUUAAAAUUAUAUGGGGUUUGAUGAGCUGUGGGUUGUGUACCGAUGUGUGAUUGUCCUUUGGUCUUUUUGAUUCACCUUAAUUUUGUCUAGUUGUUUGAAGGUUGUUUUUUUUCCAUGCCAAGCCACUGUCUUCAAUGAAAGAAAUUUGUUUUGGUGUUUAGAAAUUUCGGCUAAAAACACCAAAAUUUAUAGAAACAACUUUCUUCCUUAAAAUAUGCUAUUAGUUCCUGUAGUUCUUAUAUUUUUAAUUUUAAAAAAUUUAAAAUUUUAGUUUCCUUUGAAAAUUUUCAAUUUAUUAUGUUUAAUUUCCAUUAAUCAUACACCACAACAUUUGAUGGUAGCUUAAUGGAUAUGUCAAUUUGACAAAUUUUAAUGAAAAAUAUUUAUAAUUUUAGGUUUUAAAUAAAAAAAUUGGCAGACUUAAUUUUUAAUUUUAAAUAUAAGAAGUAAAUAUCAAGUUUUAUUGAAAUAUAAGGACCAAUAACAUAUUUUAACCUAAUUUCAAAGUUUAAAAAUGAUUUGAAUUAUUGAGAUAUCCACAACAUAUUAAUUCUUAGACAAAUAAUAAUAAAAUUAUCUAAUUGUGGCUUAAUAUUAAUUCAAGUUCGAAGGGACGUGGACCACCAAAAUAGUCCAUUGUCUCCUACAUAAAGCAUGAGAGCAAAAUAGGAGAAAUCGUCCCACCCAUUCUUAAUCAGCUUGACAACUUCCAUGCCAUCACUUUCCACUAUAAUCUAAAAAACCCCACGGUCACAAGCAAGUGUUAAGCUAUAAAAAAAAUAACCCAUAACUCAAAUGAGAGAAUAGUAUCCACAUCAAUAUUAUGAGAAAACCCUAAUAUCUACUCGUCCUUUUCAUCAUGGAAGUGUAACACUCCUUACUUGAUCUGAUUGUCGGAUUAAGAUAUUGGAAUGUCACAUUCAUUAUCGGAGUAACUACAAUAAUAUCAUAUCAAUAAAACAUUCAUAAUGCAUAAAGAAUAUGAUUUUCUAGCUUAAUUGAGCUUAAAACAAACUUUCGAAAGCUUUCUAAGUAGCCAAAACUCGACUCAAGACAAAAGGGUAAAGGCUCAAGCUAUCGGGAGCUCGUAGCUAUGUGACAUAGCUUGUCACGACCUCGAUAAAUUCCUCUUCGUGACGUGACUAUUUGGCUUAAGCUCGUCGCGACUUCAACAUCUCGAUGUUGCAACGUCAAACCUGCAACUUCAAAACUUUCACCUUUUGCUCCCUAACCACAUUAAACCACUUCCAUAGGUUGUAUCCCUUUCAAACAACCAAUAACACAUUGCCUAUAUACAUUUAUCAACUCUAGACAUUACUCAAAUCAUCAUGAAACAACUUCAAACAUAUCUAAAAUAUAAAGUUUACAAUGAAGAUCAUUAGCCAACAACUUCAUCCUUUAGUUCAUAUAUAUAACAUUCUCAAUGAAAUCCUAUGUACAUGCCAAAUCUAUAUCCAAAAUUUGAAAUAAAACUUCUUCUAAAGCUUGAGAUCUGAUGAGAUGAGUUGGAGAUGAGUUGGAGACGAUUUUCACCUUAGCUUAAAAAUGAUCUUCACCUACGUGUUUGAAAGAAAUAUGUUAAGCUCACAAGAGCUUAGUAAGCAUAUUAAGAAUCAUACCAUGAAAUUAAAAUUAAUUUCUUACAAAACAUGUAUAUAUAUAAAUAUAAUAUUUCCAUUUCAUUCAAUCACUAUAUUCAAAUUUUGUUUCCAUAAUAACUUUAUUGAAGCACCAAUUCCACAAGUUUUAAUUUACUUACCUAUGCCACAUUACAUUCACUUACCCUAUAAUGCUAUUGCCCAAUUGUAGACUUAGUAGAACACAAUAGGAUAUAAGAAAAUAUCAAUAAGAUGCACCGAAGUGCCACUAUUCUUCACAUGGACGUGUGGAUAUCACUUUGCACCGAAGUGCCAUUCACUUGCACCAUAAUGCCGCUUUCACUUGCAUCGCUACUAUCACUUGCGCAUUUAGUCACUUUCCUAAUGGCAUGCCAUUUAUAUCCUACUAGUUCUCAUUUUUUCUACAUAGACAUUUAAGCUAUACAAUUUAUUUACAUUUUCUCAACAAAUGAAACAAUUCAAACUUUACUAUUUUUACAAAUUAGUCCUUAUUCAUACAAGAUCAAUCAUUCAUCAAAUUUCACUUAACAUUUAUUUUAUCAACAUUUAACAUUUCACUUUAAUACAUCAUAUCAAUAGCUAUUUCACUAUCUUAUUUUUACACUCUUAUAAUUUAGUCCUUAUUCAUUAAAUUCACUACACAUACACUUUCCAAUUCAUAACAAAGUACAAUUUUAUAUUCAAAUAAUUCCCUAAAAUCAAAUCAUCAAUUUCAUAUAUAAAUAAAUCUUAAAUAAAAUGCUAAACCAAUUUGUAAAAUUCUUGACAUACUUAUAACAAAAAUUGCUUGAAAAUGACCUCUUUCUUCCUUCCUUCACUUUUUUGCUAUCUCCUUGCCCUUGUCACCCACUUGGUAUUCACUAUUCUUCUCUCUCUUCAUUCACAUAAUACACAUACACAACAUUUACACAUCAAUACACUAUUUACAUAUCACUUCCAUGCAUGUCAAAUAAGAUGUUUAUGAAAUUUCUUAAGAAAAAUAUUGUCUUCCUUACCUUAACCUUUCCUAACCCCUAACUUCACUUUUCUCUUCAAGAUGUAUUUUUGCUAAUUCCACCAAAAACUAAUCAUGCCAUGAAGUUUCUAUUGUUUUUUUACUAAAACCUAUGGUGGAAAUUUGAGUUUAAAGCUUGGAAUAGGAUAAAAAUGGAGGAGGAAGACUAAAAUGAAGAAAAAAAAUAAAACUUGAUGAAGAUGGGGAGGGAGACACGUGAGAGAGAGAAGCUAAAAAAAGAUAAUAGCCUUUUUUCUCCUUUCUUCUACAACUUUCUUCCAAAACAUCUUUCAAUUUUUUUGUUAGAAUAAUUUAAAAUAAAAUCUAAUCAUCAUCAUUACAAUUAAAUGGUGCCCGUUCAUUUUUAAUCUCAUCCACAUUUCCAUGCACUUUCAUGGUCAAAUUACACUCUAAGUCUUUGCUCUUUUUUCUCAUUCAUUUAAUCUAGUCAUUUCUUAUUUCUAAAAUUUUUAAACUAUGGCCUAACACUUCUCACACAUUUACAAUUUAGUCUUUUCCUUAAAUUAAUUUUCCUAAAGUCAAAAGUCUUUCUAAUUCUUUAUAAUACCCAAUUACCUUAUCUGCUAAUAUUAAUAAUUCUAUUCUGUCUACUUCAAAAAUUUCGAACGUGUCAACUUGAAUUGAUACUGUUCACUUCUUAGGGAAUGUUAAGGAUGUUACAGGAAGACCCUUCCUCUUGAAGCCAUCACUCUUGUCUUACUUAGCGCAUUGUUAAUGUUGAGUUUCACCACACCACGGGGAGGUUUCAAUCAAGUUUUAGCCUGAUAGGGAAAAUGAUAAGAAAAAGCAACACUUUUAUCAAGGUCAUUAUAACACCCUGCCAUACAUAAGCUUCGCUGCACAACUCUUCUAGGGUCCAAGCCCUUAUCCUAAAAAAUAAACCAAUUUCAUUACUUCCAGAUACAAUAACAAGUUGUCACAAAACAACUCUUUCAAUUACCUUCCUUCCUCAUAAUAUUAUAGCGAUUAUGAUGCCCCUUACUAGCCAAGAAUCAAAAUCAACAUCAAAGAAACUGUUACUAACCACAUUGGGCACUAGUUGACCCCAAACAUCUUUGACAUUGAAAUAAUCCCACAUGGCAUAAAGAGUAGUUUCAACACAAGAAGAGCAAAUUGGGUAGAUAUCAACAGUUGUUAUAGCUCUCCUUAAGUGUAACGACCCGAUUUUAGUCGAUUUAAAAAAAAUGAGAUUCUGAAGCCAAAUUUCGUGAAUUGGAUUAGUGAAAUUAUUAAUUGAAGAGUUAGCACAUCUGGUAUGAGAUUAUAUUAUUAGAUUAUCAAGUAAUUAAAUCGAGAAAGUCGUUAGUUAUAAUAUAAAGACUAAAUUGUAAAAGUAUUAUUACUAUUGAGUUUUCAUCUAGAAAAAUGCAAGAGGGCUUAUGUAGCAAUUCAAAUAAGGUCUUAGAUGCAAAUUUCCCAUAUUAAAAGUAUAAGUUAGUGGCUAAGCUCAAUCUUACCAUUAAAUUCCACUAAGUUUUGAGACAUGAAAUCUUAGCCAUUUAUUUCUUAUUAAUUAAGGCUCAUCAAGCUUAAUUUCAUCACUAAGAAUAUAUAUAUACACAAAUGAGUGGGAGAGAGAAGAGAGAUUCAACUUUUCUUUUUCUUUGCCUGUCCAUAGUUUGGAAGAAAUGGGAAAUUAAGCUAAUCCAUGUAUUAGAUUUCUUAAUUGUCAAAUGUUUAUCAAGUUGCCAUUAAUGAGUUUUAGGAGAUUUAAGCUUGAUAAUGAUAAAAUUAUGGAUGAUAUGUUUAAAUUAUGUAAGGACCAUGGUAGAAUGUAGUAGGUAAUGUUGGAUUAAGGUAGAGAUUUAGUUAAGCUAUAUAGUUAAUUUUAUGACAUUAGGGAUCAAAUUGGAUAGAAUGAAAGCUAUUAGAAAAUUAUGAUAUAGAUUGAAAGCUUGAGAUUCCUAAUGAAUAAAUACAAAGUCAUAUUUAGAUUUGAUCAGUAAAAUAAAAAAAUACGAAGAUUUCGAAUAUUAGGGCUGAGAGGGACAAAAAGGAAUAAAUUGAAUCCAUGAGUUAUUGAUUGUUUCUAUGAGUUUUAUGUGAAAUUAAUAUCAUUUCCAUAAUUGGAUUUAUCGUAUGUAGCUAAAGAUAAUGCCAAGACAUCGCGGGAUAAGCGAAAGAUGAAGUCUAUUGACAACUAGCCUUAUUUUGGUUUGUGCUUUCAUGAUUCAGUUUCAAUACAUAACUCAUUAAUGUUAAUUUAAGUAAGGUAAUGUUUAAGUUCUUUGUCUCGUGAGAGGUGAAUAUACUUGUGUUAUGUUGAAAUGGUGAAUAUGAUGAAAAUGUGAUUCAAUAUAUGAUUGGUAUGUCAAAGCAUGAUAACGAUAUGAACAUGAUAUGAAAAUGCUAUGUAAUUAGUAAAUGACAUAUGAACUUGUAUACAUUGAUAUGAUGAAUUCUCUAUUAAACAAUCUUAGAUAGAGUUCGAGUAUAGUUGGCAUACUAUAAGAUUAGUUAUACGAGGAUUUCUUUGGUUUAGACCUAUGAGGCAUGGAGCAAAUAUUGCUUCAGGCAUACUGAUGAGGUGUUAGGCACACAAUACUUCAAUCUAUAUUGAUGCGGCACAGAGCGUAUAUUACUUCGGACAUAUAGAUGAUGUACUAGAUGCAAAUCAUAUUAGUGUGAUGGUAGAUUGAUCUAUGUAUCUAUUUUGAGUACAUGUUCGAUUACCAGGGGCCACAAAAUAAUCUAUGAAUGAUUGAUUAUCCAUAUUCAUGUGUGAGUAGUUUUACUUGGAUAGAUUAAAUGACUACAAAAACAAAUGACAUGAAUGAUAACAUGUAAAAGAUCAUGCGAUUUGGAUAUUACAAUAUCUAAAGGUCGAUGAUGUUAUGAUACAAGUCAAGCAAUAUGUCAACUGCUACAGUAUAGGGGCUUGUAUCGGUAUAAACUUGUAUCGGUACAAGUUAAGAAGACAAGUGUCCCUCCCCUAUUUCAAGUUAUUUUGACCCUUGGGACCCGAACUUGGUCCUAGACACCUCCGAUCACCUAGAAACCAUUUUAAAAUGUUUCUAAAUUGUUUUAAAUGACUUGAAAAUGUUUUUAAUCAAUGGAAAUGAUUUGAUUUGAAUGGAUGAUUGUUUGAAUUACUUGAUGAAUGUGAAGUAGAAGUUAGUUCGAGUUGCUUCAGUAACAAAUGUGGUAUUUCACAUUUAGAUCUAGUGAUCAGAUUAUGUGUGGGGUGUCACAUUAAGCGCUCACUAUUAGUUAAUAAACAGCCUUUGGCUACCAGCCAAACGAAUUGUCUUACACAUUGAGGUCCAUGGAUUUUCCAAAUACACUUCCACUUAUCAUCUGUUAGUUUCCAAGAGUCACACAUAACCCUAUCAUAUGCCAUUGCCAUCGAACAAUUGCCAUUGGUCUGGUCAUGCCACAAACAUAAAUCAGGGUUGGCACCCUUAGAGGGAGGUGUCAUAGUGGCAAUUUUGAUAGUUGUUUGAUAGUUGAUUUAAGGAACAAAACAACUCCAAUUCCAACCACCUCUCGAGGCCACAUAAUUAGCCACACAACUAGAAUUCUUCAUUUCAAAAGGAAUUGCGAAAUGGCUUACCAAAGGUCCCAUACCUGACACCUAGCUGUUUUCCCAAAACUUAAAUACUCGACCAUCCCCUUACAACCUAAUGAAUACUAUCACGUAGCACACCCCAAAAUUUGGACUAAGACAUCUAAACAAAAGAAGGAAAGGAUUUGGUCACAAACGCUGGACAACCAAAUUUAAGUUUAUACUUACUCCUUAACAUUUGAACUAAUAAAGCAUCCAUGUUAGAAAUAAGUUGAAAACCAAGCCCAAAUAAGAAAAAAAAACUUAAAAAUCACCCUUUUUUAAUAACAAUAGAUAUUAGUCUAUAAAUGUUGUCUUUUUAUUUUUAUUUUACUAGAAUUGUGACCCUCUAUGUCGAGGUUUUAAAAUUUCUUUAAUUAAUAUAUAAAAUAUUUUUAAAAUAUUUUUUAAUAAAUUAUAAUUACUUGGUGUUAGUCUCUUUAUUAUGCCAAAAUUUUGGAUUAAGCCCCUACACUUUACUUUUGACAUAAUUUGAUCCCUUUAAUUUUAUAAUACCAUUAGUUAUCCUAAAUAACUUACACUUUUAACUGUGCCAAUUAAAAUAACAUUGUGUAUUUUUUUUAAAAUCACCACUUCUAACUAAAUAAUGGCUUAAUCACUUUUCAACUAAUCAUACUGUCAAAAUAGGAUGUCGAUAAUGGUAAGAAAAGAGAGAAACAUAGAACACACAAAUUUUACGUGGAAAGCUUUUUGGGAAAAAAACCAUGGGCAGGGGAGAAGAAAGUUCAAUAUGUCGAAUUCGAAUGAUUACAAGGAGUAUAAACUGCGUCUAUUUAUAGGUUUAGAAAACCUUAUUCUAAUCAACAUCUAAUAGAAGUAAUGCAAUAAGGUUGAAACACCUUAUUCAAAUAAAUAUCAAACAGAGAAAGUAAACUUCUAUACAGAUUCUUCUUGUGCAGCAUAUACCAUAUCGCGGGGGCCUCCGACCCCCGCACCACUGAUUGCAACCCCAGUCCAAUAUCUUGCUUAUUGAGGUUCCACAAUGGGCGGCGGCCCUCGACUUUUGUCCUCGUGGAUCCCCCUAUCUUGCCACCUGUAUUUUAUUUUAAUAAGAAUUUGGGUCACAACUCUAACACAUACUAACAUAGUUUUUUUUGUCAGAAAGAGUAUGUUUAAGGAAAAACCACCUCAACAUUUUACUUGAAAUUAUUAAUUGUUGACACCAUUUUUUUGAUAAAACGGGGUCGACUUGGAUUUUAAAAAUGAAAACGAAUAUGGGAGUUGCCACCAAUCCUUUUUGAUGAGGUGUGAUUGGGCCACCUUGAAAAACGGUUGUUUUUAAUAAAUAAUUUAAUUUUAUUAAAACAAUGAUUUUGGUUCGUGAAAUCCAGAAAAACAGGUUCGGGAAUCGGUUACAUACGAGGAAGGAUUAGCACCCUUGUAACACCCAAAAUUGGUACCUAGUUGAUUAAUUAAUGUCUUAGUGUUGAAGAUUGAAAACUUUAAAGAGAUUUUAAAUACGACCCUUUAUUGAAAUGUUUGAAAAUUUUCGAGAAAAUGGCAUAUUUCACGUUAAUCGAGAAAGAGACUUAUAUCCAGUAAGUCAGGACACAAUGUCUUGAAUUCUCAAUGCGCGAAUGAAUGCCAAAAUUUACUUAUUUAAAAUGAUAUUUAAUUAUCUCAAGCUUAGAAAAGGGAUCAUGUCCAGUAAGUUAGGACACGAUCUUUUCUUAAUUCCCGAUAUCGUUUAAAAACUUGAGGAAGAAAAAGGGAUCAUGCCCAGUAAGUUAGGACACGAUCUCUUCUUAAUUCCCGAGAUCAUUUAAAACUUGAGUUUGAAAAGAUUCGUGUAUUUAGAUUUAUUGUGAAAAUCGAAACCCAGUAAGUUAGGGUACAACCUUCUCGAAUCUAAACACGAGAUUUUGCUUAUCCAAAAAUCAUAAUUUAUGUAUUGAAUAAAAUUAAUCUAACACGAAAUGGUAGUAAUGAAACACGGUGUCAAUAUGCGUAAUAAAACAAAAAUGAAUACGAUGAUGUAAAAAUAAUACGAGCAAUAACAACGAAAAUAAGACAAAUAAAAGGACAAAUCAAUAACAUACAAAAUAAUAGGCAUAUAUAUGUGUGUGUGUGUGUGCAUAAAUAUAUAAAUUAUAAGAUAAACAAAAAAUAUAUAUACGUAUGUAUAUAUAUAAAUUAUUUAAAAAAAAUGUGUACGUAUAUUAUAAAAAUGUAUGCAUGCCUAUAUAUAUAUAACAAAAUUUUGGAUUUAAAAAGGUGUAAACGAAUAAAUAAUAAUAAUAAAUGCUAAUACAAAAUUAAUGAUGAUAGUAUUAAUAAUAUUUAAACAAUUAAUUUAGUAGUAAAAUGACUACAAUAAUAGAUUGGGGAUUAAAUUAAAAAUAAACAAAGUUUUAGGGUCGAAAUUAAAAAAGAAGUACAAAAGGACUAAAUCACAACGCGCAUGAAAGGAAAAGGACCGAAAAGCCCUCGCUGAUCAAACGGCAUCGUUCCAGUGAGGCGCGUGUGCAUGGUCUAGGGACCAAAUUAAAACAGAAGAAAAAUUUUAUGGCUAAAAUUGCAAAUAUAUGAAAAAACUACAUUGAAAGCAACUCAAAAGUGGAGGGACUGAUUGCAAAAUAGACCCUUAUGUGAAAACACGCGGAUCCUGCUAGCGGGUCAGGUCGGCUGGAUCGGGUUAGGCCAAAACGACGCCGUUUUGGGCGUUUUGGAGCUGGGUCAAAACGGCGUCAUUUUACACGCCUAUAAAAGUAUAAAAAAUUUCCAAAAACGUAAUUUCCCCUUUUUAGAGAAAAAAAUAGAAAAUGUUCUCACUUCCCUCUUCUUCUCCGGCCAAGGGUCCGGUCAUCGCCAGUCGCGUCGUCCGUAGGUCGUCAGCGCCGGCGCUGCCGUGUGCGGCGGUUGAGAAGCUAAAAAGCUUCCAUUUUUACAUCGAAUCGUCCCUCCAACUCUCCGAACACUCCGACAUCGUCAAAUAGGUAAAAAAAAUCUUUUUUAUUAUUUAAGGCUUCAAAAAUAAAAAUAAAGAAAAGAAAAAAAACAAUCACCUUUAAAAAAACUGACUUCUGCUUUUAUUUUAUUUCUCUUUGUUUUUUUUGUGUUCUUUAAAAAAAAAACCCUUUCGUUACAAUGGUUUAUAAUCAGUUUUUAUACCGAAAUACAAAAUCCUAUCUUUUCCCCCUUGUGCUGUGGUUUGCUUUCUCUUUAUUGUUUGUAGGUAACUGAUGCGGCAAGUGGGCAAGUGGCAGUGUCAAGUGAAGCAGGUGGUGAUGGGACGUACCGACGGUGGCGCCAGAAGGGUCUGAAUACCCUAGGUGCGGCGCUGUAACACUAGGGUUUGACUUGUUCUUUUUUCUGAUUUGAUGGUUUGGGCUGUUAGGGUUUGGGUAGUUGGGGUUGUAUUUGUUGGGCUGGUAGGUUAGUUUGGGGGGUUUAAUUGUUUUGGGUUUUGGGCCCGGGCUAAAAUUAGGCUUGUACAGCUGCCCUUCUUUGUUCAUUGUCAUGUAACAAGAAUAGAGCAAAGACCAAGAAAGGUCAAUUUUACCCAGCCUCGCCGAUUCUGGACCUGUUCUGGUGCUUCUUUUCUCCAAGUAGCUUCAUUCCAGUCCACUGUGUCUUCUUGCGUCGAUCCACUCCACUGCAACUUCAAAAAGAGAUAUGACUUGUGCCUUCAAUCCACUCUGCUGUGACUUUAGGGGGUGUGGUUUGUGGUUUUAGUCUGUUUCAUGGAAAUAAGGUUCAUCAGGGAAGUAAGAUUCGCUAUUGUAGCUUCAAUCUGUUCCACUGCAAUGCCAAACCAGCAAGAUUAGCCGUUGUAGCUUCAAUCUGUGCCAUGGAAGUAAGGUUCGUCAGGGGAGUAAGAUUCACUGUUGUAGCUUCAAUCUGUUCCACUGCAACGUUAGGGAGGUAAGAUUCGCUGUUGUAGCUUCAAUCUUUUUAACUGCAAUGCUGGGGAAGCAAGAUUUGCUGUUGUAGCUUCAAUCUGUUCCACUGUAUUUCCAGGAAAGUAAGAUCCGCUGUUGUAGUUUCAAUCUUUUUAACUGCAAUGUCGGGGAAGCAAGAUUCGUUGUUAUGGCUUCAAUUUGUUCCACUACACCACCAGGAAAGUAAUAUCCGUUGUUGUAGGUUCAAUCUUUUAAAUUGCAAUGUCGGGGAAGUAAGAUUCACCGUUGUUGCUUCAAUCUGUUCCACUACACCACUAGGAAAGUAAGAUCCACUAUUGUAGCUUCAAUCUUUUAACUUGCAAUGUCGGGGAAGCAAGAUUUGCCGUUACAGCUUCAAUCUGUUCCACUACACCGCCUGGGAAGUAAGAUUCGCCGUUGUGGCUUCAAUCUUUUUAAUUGCAAUGUCGGGGAAGCAAGAUUUACUAUUGUAGCUUCAAUAUAUUCUACUGCACUACCAGGAAAGUAAGAUUCACCGUUGUGGCUUCAAUAUUUUUAAUUGCAACAUCAGGGGUAUGAGUAACUCCAUUGAUCAGCUCUCUGGGGAACAUGACCUGUAAAGUCUAUUUUAUGAACCUAUUUAUGCCUACUGAUUAAGAUGUUAUGAUCAGAAUGAAUCAAAUGCUCCGAACUAGGUGUGUAUGAAUGAAUGUAAGAUGAAAAUGAUCCAUUAAUUCUUGAGUUGUUAUUGCUUAUUGUUUAAUAAGACUUUAUUGCCAACGCGUCAGAAUGCUAUCUUGUCCGGUUGGUAAUGCUCAUAUCCUACUUAACCGGCUUGCCCCUACUGUAAUCUUCAAUGUCCGAUCCACUGUAAUUUUCAAAGUUCAAUCCAUUGUAAUCUCUAGGGAUAUAAAAUUUGAACCAUCUUCCUUCCACUGAGUAUAAGAUCUGGCUCUUUCUCAAUCCUCUCCCACUGCAAUUCAGGGAUACAGGAUCUGAAUCUCUUUGGUCUCCUACACCAUUCCCAGGGUGUUGUACCAAAUGUUUUUGCACAAUUGUAGUACUUUCUCUUCUGAGAAACCUUUUCUUAUCACUCGGUGAUCAUUGCUUGUUUGUUCAUUGAAGCUUUGUCGCCAACACAACAUUUUGUCAUUUUGUUCAAUCUAUGUUUGGAUAAUAAAAUCCGAAAGGAUAGUCUUAAUUUAGACUUUUCCUCCUUAGACAUUUCGACCUUUAAACUUAGUGUGUUUCAAACAAUAGUCCUAUUUCAGGCUCCUGUAUUAUUUAGAAGCUUUUAGAGUAAUAUGCAAAACUCCUUUUGCUUGAAUAUUAACAACCCAUUAAUCUUUAUUUCAACGAAAAAUGCUUGAUAAAGAUUAUCACAGUGGACAAGAUGAAAUUUUAUUGAGAGAAAAGCUCUAAACAAAUAAAUUAAUCAGGAUAGUAAAUUUUGCUAAGAUUCAGAAUGAAUAAGAUGAAAAAGAUUAUCACAAUGGACAAGAUGCAAUUUUAUUAAGAGCAAAGCUUGAAAUGAAUAAAUUAUCAAGGAUAGUAAGAAUAAAAGAGGAAUUGAUUAGGAACUCGUAUCUUGAAAAAGAAAGAAGUAUUCCAAGACAGCAAAUUCAAUAUAACUAGUAUGAAGAUUAGGUGCCCCAAAUAUCGCAGCUUGAACUUCUCUAUACUAACUCUUUGAAAGACCAUUCUGAGUUUGACAUGUGUUUGGGAGAUCUACAUGACUUUGUCGAUGCCCCAAGACGUCGCCUACCCUUUCCUAUUGAUUCAGGUAUAACAAGAUCACCACAUGCCCCAAUCUGAUCAAAAUUUGAGCUGCCCUUUUCGGGUUUUCAACUCAAAUCCCCUUUGGUCUCAAGGUGCCCUUUACGGGUUUUCACCUUGGCCUCUUCCCCUUUUUUUUAAAGCGCCCUUUACGGGUUUUCACCUUAGUCUUUUUUAGGACUCAAAAUACCCCUUUACGGGUUUUCACUUUGGUCCCUUUCUCUUUCCUCAAGUGAAGUGUUUCUUGACUGAGUCUGAGUUUACAGGAUUUGGCAGGUUUUUACCAUCCAUCUCACUAAAAAUUAAAGCUCAUUCAGAGAAGUUCUUCUUUACAACACAAGGUUCUUCCUAUUUGGUAUUCAUUUUUCUUUAAAAUCCUUUUGUAUAAGAAGGAUCUUUUUCAACAUCAGGUCCCCCUCGUAAAAUUCUCUAGGAUAAACCUCUUUGUCGUAAGCUCGCAUCAUCUGACCAUGAUUGAUCUCUCUUAACAUUCCUUAAACCAAUGGGCCAGGUGCUGCCCCGACAAAGGUUCUGGCCGACGUUUGAUGAGCAUAGAGGGUAAAUGAUAACUUCUUUAUACCAAUCUUUACCAGUAUCGGUCCCCUUUCCCACGAUCCUUGUUUUAUUUUUCUUUUUGGCUGCCUAUGGCGUUUAAUCUUUGAACAGACUACAAAUUUUUGACGUUGUCAUUUUUUGGCAUUCUUCAUCGGUGUCUGAUCCUUUUUUUUUUGAAAUUAGAAUUUAAUGACUUCGACCUUGUAACAUUGAUAUAUGAAGCUAUUUUCACCCUCUUAGUGAAGUAAUCGAAGACAACAAAGAUGAAUUGAUGCUUGCUAGAAACUUUUGGCGAUAUCAGCUCAAUGACCUCCAUGCCCCACAUAGAGAAAGGUCAUGAAGAGGUAAAGGAGGCACAUAAAUCUUGUCUCCAUAAAUUUGGCACUUAUGACAUUUCUGGGUAUAACUGAUGUAAUCCCCUUCCAUGGUAGACCAGUAGUACCCAUAUCUCAUGAUUUACUUGGCCAUUGCAAAACCAUUAACAUGUGUUCCUUAGACACUAUUAUGGACCUCUUUCCAAGAUUUUCUUAGCCUCAAUAGCGUCCACACAUCUUAGUAGCUCAGGCAUACCUUGAUACGAUUGUACGAAAUCAUCUUCGAAUUCUUAGAAUGACGUUUCACUUUGCUUCGAUGGCGAGACAUGAUCCAAUCUCUUUCUUUUCUCCUAAGAUCAUUGUCCACUGACUUUUGUAAGGUAGGAUUUAUUUUUUCAUCUUGUUCUACCAUCUUCAACAAGUCCGGAGAUAGGCUACAAUCUAUGUCAUCUUCAAAGUAAUGAGAUUCCUUUAAACACAUGUCUCUCUCAAAAGGAAAUUUUGAGUCUGUAGCAGUGUCACUCAUGUCAUUAAUAUCUAGGGACCCAUUGUAGGUACAAAAGAAUAUACAAAGAAUGUAUAAAUUUAUGAAUAAUUGUUUGUAUAGUAUGGCUGUGAAUGAAUAAAUGAAUGAUUUGGAAGAAAAUCCAAAAGAAUGAAAGAAUAAAAAAUGAUUAUUUAUAAAAGAUGAAAGAAUAUUGACUCAAAAAGGAUCACAAAGAAGUAUUAAAAUAAUGACGUUCAGACAUGAGCCUAUUUCACAAAAGAGUUCUUAUUGCCUCUAGGCUAAAAGCAACAAGUGUAUUCUGAAUAUUACUCUGAGCAAGCUCUAAAUACUACAGGGAUUUCUUCUGCAGUCCGAUUAUUCAGAACACUCCCAAUUUAUAAGGGCGAGUAUCUAACAAGGUCCAUUUUUAAUUGCGUCUUCAUAUAUGGCAUUGAUGUGAACGUUUCCCAACAUUUCUUCAUACAUCGCAUUCACCCCAUUAUCAAUAUGAUUGGGUAGCGGAUUUUCUGCAUUAGAUGAGUCAUCAAACUUGACAAUGCCCAUAUUGAUGAAUCUUUCAACUAACUUUUUGAAGGCAGUGCAAUUUUUUUAUAGAAUACCCUGUAAUUCCCGCAUGAUAGUCGCAUUGUGCAUCCGCGUCGUACCAUUUGGGGUACGGUAGUUGUAAAGGCUUCAUGUAGAAAGGGGAGACAACAUGUGCGUCAAAUAAACUCUGAUACAGCUUCCAGUACGACAUUGGGAUUGGUGCAAAUUGGGACUUCUCAAUGUUUUGCUUUGUGCCAAAUUCUUGUCUUAGGGGGAUCUGAUGGCCAGUAGUAACCGUCCUUGGCUGGCUUGCGGUAAUUGGCUUUGAAUAACCCUCGUUAUACUUACUCGCAUUAUUGACCUCAUUUUUUCUUUUUCGGGGCCUUUAAAGUAUUGGUUUGGGAGUUUAACUCACACCCUUUACAUUUGUAACGAUCUUCAAAUUGUUUUGAGAACUCUACUCUCGCCUGUUUUGUUUCCGUUAGAUCAUCAAGGACUACAGGAUUAGUUAGAUUGCCCCUAAGAUUGGAACCUAAGCCUGUCGCGAAAUUCACCGGUGUCGAGGUACUGGUCUGGUAUUGUGGUCGGAUGUUAACAGUUACCCUUUGUGGAUAUGUAUUUGGUUGUGCUUGGAUGUUUAUUGGGGUAAAGCCUGAAAAAUGAGCAGGGUCUUCAUUAUCAUCUCCAAAGUGGACUGUUGGGUUUGUUCCUUUUUCUAACCCUCUAUCCAAUAACUGGGUUAACUGGCUCAUCAGAUUUCUUCGGACUUCUAUCAGUUGAUCCCUCAUAUCUUGUUAAAAUUUGGUCAAUUGCUCUUGCAUCUAUAUUUUCAUUUGCUCUAAUCUCUCCAACCUUUGGUCCAUUCCCUUAGUUUCUGUUCGGGUAGCGCAAGGGUGUUGGUUUGGUAGGUUGGUUUCCAUUGACUCUGAAAUUAUUUUGUUUAAUUAGGGUCUUUUAGUGAAAUUUGAUGCAUGCAAUAAAAUGUAAUGUAGAUGCAUGAAUGUAAAAAGACGUUGAUUCUGAUUCAAUUUCAUUUAGAAAACUUUACUAAAAAACAAAUUUCUUUACAUAAAACGAAUGCAUGUACGACCUUGCCUUCACACUCUAAGAAACAACAUCGAUCCUUUUCUUCACCCGAAUGUUAAAAUGAAUAUCACGAAUGCCACUACUAACUCCUUCUUACUUUAUCCUAGUUGUGAUCCAUCAUCUGCCCAUCCUCGUAAUGCUCAUCAGCUUCUUUAAGGAAGUCGAAAUGUGGGCGACCCUCAAAUAAUUAGCUUGAAUCUUCGGGCCACGAAGUAAAGUCAUGUACUUUUCCAUCACCCUUCUUUUGCUAUGUUUCUUGGGAUAUAUUCGGGCAGCCAUAUUAUCUUUCACUUUAUCAAAAAAUUCGUUUUCCAUGACAAGCUUUCUAAUUUAGUAAUCAAAUUUGAAUCAACACCUUUUUUCUAAGAUGAAAAAUGCAAUGCAAUCAUAACCAAAACAAAGCGAAACGGGUUAGUACAAAGCAGAAGCAGACAAGAAAAAUAGAGUACAUAUUCGGGUAACCACUAAGGGUUUGAAGUGGCUCUAACUAGGGUGGGCUCCUAAGGUCUUCUACACGUGGUUUGGUUCUAAAUCAAAUGUACUAGAACCAGCAGAUUCCUCAAUCCUCACCUAUCACAGGCUCAUAUAGACCGAGUUCAGUUCAGGGGAAUACAUUUCCCUAUGGCCAUGAGGAGAUGAAAAUCUCACGAAGACAUGGGUACAGAUGUAUCCCGGAAGCGAUUCACUAUCCCAUGCGGAGGUGAAAACCUCACGAAGACGUAGUUUCUCACUCCCACUUAAAAGGGUGUGACCAACGGUCAUGCAAUGUAAUGUGUAGAAAGAUACCGAAACUUAAACUAACACAGCAAUUAUAAACUACAAUGAUGAAGAUCAUAAUAAAGAUGGAUAAAAUGUAACGAAUGGAUUGUAUAUUUAAAUUAGCUUUUCAAUCUUUGACAAAAAGAUAAAAAAUAAUCAACUCGUGGCUUGACACUCUUAUUUUGAGUCCCCAGUGGAGUCGCCAAGCUGUUGGCACCAUUUUUUUGAUAAAACAGGGUCGACUUGGAUUUUAAAAAUGAAAACGAAUGAGAGUCACCACCAAUCCUUUUUGAUGAGGUGUGAUAGGGUCACCUUGAAAAGUAGUUGUUUUUAAUAAACAAUUUAAUUUUAUUAAAACAAAGAUUUUGGUCCGUGAAAUCCAGAAAAAUAGGUUCGAGAGUCGGUUACAUACGAGGAAGGAUUAGCACCCUCGUAACGCCCAAAAUUGGUACCUAGUUGAUUAAUUAAUGUCUUAGUGUCGAAGAUUGAAAACUUUAAAGAGAUUUUAAAUACGAUCCUUUAUUGAAAUGUUUGAAAAUUUUCGAGAAAAUGACAUAUUUCACGUUAAUCGAGAAAGAGACUUAUAUCCAGUAAGUCAGGACACAAUGUCUUGAAUUCCUAAUGCACGAGUGAAUACCAAAAUUUACUUAUUUAAAAUGAUAUUUAAUUAUCUCGAGUUUAGAAAAGGGAUCAUGCCCAGUAAGUUAGGACACGAUCUUUUCUUAAUUCCCGAGAUCGUUUAAAAACUUGAGGAAAAAAAAAGGGAUCAUGCCCAGUAAGUUAGGACACGAUCUCUUCUUAAUUCCCGAGAUCGUUUAAAACUUAAGUUUGAAAAGAUUCGUGUAUUUAGAUUUAUUGUGAAAAUCAAAACCCAGUAAGUUAGGGUACGACCUUCUCGAAUCUAAACACGAGAUUUUGCUUAUCCAAAAAUCAUAAUUUAUGAAUUGAAUAAAAUUAAUCUAACACGAAACGGUAGAAAUGAAACACGGUGUCAAUAUGCGUAAUAAAACAAAAAUGAAUACGAUGAUGUAAAAAUAAUACGAGCAAUAACAACGAAAAUAAGACAAUGAAAAGGACAAAUCAAUAACAUACAAAAUAAUAAGCAUAUAUAUAUGUGUACAUAAAUAUAUAAAUUAUAAGAUAAACAAAAAAAAUAUAAGUAUGUAUAUAUAUAAAUUAUAUAAAAAAAUGUGUACGUAUAUUAUAAAAAUGUAUGCAUGCCUAUAUAUAUAACAAAAUUUUGGAUUUACAAAGGUGUAAACGAAUAAAUAAUAAAUGCUAAUACAAAAUUAAUGAUGAUAGUAUUAAUAAUAUUUAAACAAUUAAUUUAAUAGUAAAAUGACUACAAUAACAGAUUGGGGAUUAAAUUAAAAAUAAACAAAGUUUUAGGGUCGAAAUUAAAAAAAGAAAAGCACAAAAAGGACUAAAUCACAACACGUGUGAAAGGAAAAUGACUGAAAAGGGAAAUAUUCCCUUGCUGAUCAAACGGCGUCGUUCCACUGAGGCGCGUGUGCAUGGUCUAGGGACCAAAUUAAAAUAGAAGAAAAAUUUUGUGGCCAAAAUUGCAAAUAUAUGAAAAAACUACAUUGAAAGCGGCUCAAAAGUGGAGGGACUGAUUGCGAAAUAGACCCUUCCACAAAAACAGGCGGAUCCCACUAGCGGGUCGGGUUGGUUGGAUCGGGUUAGGCCAAAACGACGCCGUUUUAGGCGUUUUGGAGCUGGGCCAAAACGGUGCCGUUUUGCGCGCCUAUAAAAGUAAAAUUUUUUCCAAAAAAUCAUUUCCCCCCUUUCCAGAGAAAAAAAAACCAAAAAUGCUCUCACUUCCCUUUUCUUCUCCGGCCAAGGGUCCGGUCCUCGCCCGUCGCCACCAUGUGCGGCGGUCAGAAAGCUAAAAAGCUUUCAUUUUUACGCCGAAUCGUCCCUCUGACACUCCGAACACUCCAACGUCGUCAAAUAGGUAAAAAAAAUCUUUUUUAUUACUUAAUGCUUCAAAAAUAAAAAUAAAGAAAAGAAAAAAAAACAAUCACCUUUAAAAAAACUGACUUCUGCUUUUAUUUUAUUUCUCUUUGUUUUUUUGUGUUUUUUUUUAAAAAAAACCCCCCAAUUACAAUGGUUUACAAUCGAUUUUUAUACCGAAAUACAAAAUCCUAUCUCUUCCCCCUUGUGCUUUGGUUUGCUUUCUCUUUAUUGUUUGCAGGUAACUAAUGCGGCAAGUGGGCAAGUGGCGAUGUCAGACGAAGCAGGUGGCGAUGGGACGUGCCGACGGUGGCGGCAGAAGGGUCUGAAUACCGUAGGUGCAGCGCUGUAGCACUAGGGUUUGACUUGUUCUUUUUUUUUGAUUUGAUGCUUUGGGCUGUUAGGGUUUGGGUAGUUGGGGUUGUAUUUGUUGGGCUGGUAGGUUAGUUUGGGGGGGGGGUUUAAUUGUUUUGGGUUUUGGGCCUGGGAUAAAAUUGGACUUGUACAUUAAUCAUGUUAAUUAUUUGGACUAACUAAAUCAUUACUUAAUCACCUUCUAACUAAUCAUGCUAACAUACAUAUUUUUGUUGGAAUGAGUAUAUUUAAGGAAAAGUUCACUUUAAUGUUUUAACUGGAAUUAUUAACCAUGUUAAUUAUUUAGAUUAACGAAUUGUAUUAUAAAUGUAGAUGAAAAAUGUUUCAAAUUAAUUUAUAUUGACUAACUCUCAAAUCCAAGUAUAAUAAAAGGGCCAAAGCCACAAUUUGACAUAGUAAAAGUAGAUGAGAAAAUUAUUUAAAUUAAAAUAUAAAGACUAAACCUCAAAUAUAAAUAUAAUAAAAGGAUUAAAUAUAAAUAUAAUAAAUUGAGUCUCACCCUCUAUAAAAGUGGAGCAAAUAAAGUAUCAACAAAGUUUAAUAUACUAAUACUUGGGGUUGGAUUAAGUUUGUGAGUAAAAUAAUCACAUCACUCAUUGGCAAAGCAUGAAUGUGAUUAUGAUAUGGUUUUUUUUCUGAAGUAUAACUAUGUUGGAGUUGAUAGCAUCGGUUAGAAUACAUUUAUAAAUGAUUAUAUAACAUUUAAUCAUGUAUAUAUUUUUGGACAUAUAUUUUCAAUGAUUUAAUAACUUAAAAAUCCCACACAUUAUUAUAUAUGUAAAAUGUAAAUAGAAGCUACAUCAUUAUUUCAUGAAAUAACAUCAUAGAGAAUGUGAUAGCAGAGUUCAUUCUCAGCAAUAUAUGUGAAACUAAUUAGGAAUCAAACUGUCUUCAAUAGUUAGAUGGAGGUGGAGGUAUGAAAGGAAUGGAAGGCAAGCUGCUGCUGGGAAGUGGUGGAAGAAUAGUGAUAAGCUUAGGCUAAGAUGGUGGGAUUGUUGGUAGCUUUGGGAUUCAAGGCAAUAUAGGAGGAAGUGGUGGAAUUGGUACGCUGGGAAGUGGUGGAAGAAUGGGGGUAGGGUUAGGAAGUGGUGGAAUUGGUACUGGUACUCUAGGAAGUGGUGGAAGACUGGGGGUAAGGUUAGGAAGUGGUGGAAUUGGUAAUCUGGGAAGUGGUGGAAUUGGGAAUCCAGGAAGUGGUGGAAGAAUGGGGGGAAGUGGUGGAAUUGGUGGAAUUGGUGGAAUUGGUGGAAUAGUUACUUGCUGAAGAUUUCGAGCUGCUAGGCUAACCUCCAUGCUUGAAAAACCCAACAAAAUGAAACAAGCUAAUAAAAUGAAAACGUUGGAACCUGCCAUUUUUUUUGGAGAGAUGAACUAAAGAUUGAAGAUUUGAGUUGAGGUUUGCAUUGAGGAAAGCAGGAUUGCUUUUCAGGUAUUUAUAGCCACAUUUGAAAGACUUAAUUAAUUAUUUGUUUGAGAUAUUAUUCCCCUACUUAGCAUACUACCUUUUCUCACCCAUCUGUCAUCACCAACAAAAAGAAGAAGAAGAUAAAUUAGACUCAUCCUUAAACUUAAAAAUAUUCUGAAUGAGUCGAUUUGUCUAAUGUUAGUUAAAAAUUAAAUGCUUUUAAAUUUUGUGUGAACUAUAUCUUUCUAUUUCCAUUUACCUAAUGCCAGUUAAAAAAUAAAUAUUUUUUUAUAUAAUGAGUGUAUAUUUGACUUACGUAUGUGGCGCUCUAUUAAAAAAAAAAUUAAAUUAGGUGGAUCAAAUUUAAAUAUUAGAUAACUAUACAUGUUGGUACUUAAACUUGGUAUUUAAGAUUUUUUGUUGUCCAAUUAAAGGUUGAAUUUAAAUUAGAUAGUUGAACUUGAUUUCUUAGUUCAAAUUCCAAGCUUAGAUACCAAAAUGUUUGGUAUAAUAUUAAAUUAAAAAAAUUCAAGAUGUAAAAUACUAAUUUAACAUUUAAACUAGUUGCCCCAUACAGCUACAAUGGUAAUGAUAGAAGAAAAGUAAUUGAAUGGGAUUAGGAGAUGAAGAUCCUAGUAAAGCCACCUCUAGAGGUAUGAGAGUUGCGACCACUCUAUAAUUGAAUGCUACAAAAAUGGUUAUAUCUAGGAAUCUUUCGCCAUUAGCUAAUAAUGGAAAUAGCUAUGUAUCACUUAAAAAACAACAAUUCAUAUUUUCUUGAAAUAUAUUCAAAAAAUUGAAAAAUAUAAAAAAUAUCAUUUUUCUAAAAAUCCAAAAAUUUUAUGUGAAUAUCAACAAAUUCAGAAACUAAAAGAUAUGGAAAGCUUUAAAGUUUUUCCAAAAAGAUAGAAAUUUGCAGAAAAUUAGGUAUUUAAGAUUCCAAUAUUUUUAUUUCCCUUCUUUCCUGAUUGGAGAAAAUAUGAAUUAGGUGACGCCAUCGUUAACAAUUGGGGCAAGGUAAGACACGGUUGGAAACUUCAAGUAGGUGUAAUUUUGGGGAAAUAUUACAUUGUUUAAUAAUGAAUAUUGACAUGAUUUACCCUGAGUUAAAUCAAUUAUAUUUUACUUAUAUUUUCUAUACAAAUUUUAUACAAGCCUAAAUUAAUCAUAUUCAAUCAUAUCAAUCUCAAUAUUUUGAAUAAGAUAAUAAUAUUUUCUUAAAACUAUAACUAUAUAAAGUAUUGUAAAAAUAAUUAUUCAAUUAUACAGCUAUUUUAUUUGUAUAAUUAUAAUUAACAUAACCUUCUCCAUCAUAUAAUUAAAAUUUGUUCAACUUAUAAUUACAACAACUUUCCGUGAAGAAAAGAGAGAGACACAAAUACAAACUAAUGAGAUUAAAUAAAUCUCAAAUAUAAAAUAUUCUUCAAUAAACAUCAUUAAUCAAUCUCAAAAGAAACAAGAAAAGAAAUUCAUAAAUUAAACAAUAAGAAUAUAAUAUAACAAUCCAUUAUUUAAUAAAUUCAAAAAAAAAAAUCACAUUUAUAUUUUAAAUUUUAUUGGUCUAAUUUUAGAUAGGUUUAUAAACUUCAAAUGAUUUAAAAUAUUAGUGUCACGCCCCUAAAUAUAGGAAGGUUCAUUGAAAUGAAUAAAUAAGAAAUGUGUUGACACCAUUUUUUUGAUGAAAACGGGGUUGACUUGGAUUUUGAAAAUGAAAAUUAAAAUGACAGUCGCCACCAAUCCUUUUUGAUAAGGUGUGAUCGGAUCACCUUGAAAAGUGGUUGUUUUUAAUAAACGAUUUAAUUUUAUUAAAACAACGAGUUUGGUCCACGAAAUUCAGAAAAAUGGGUUCGGGAGUCGGUUACGUACGAGGAAGGAUUAGCGCCCUCGUGACGCCCAAAAAUUGGUACCUAGUUGAUUAGUUAAUGUCUUAAUGUCAAAAAUUGUAAACUUUGAAGAAUUUUAAAAAUACGAUCCUUAAUUUUUUUAAAAAGAAAACUUAUAUAAAUCAAGUUACUCGUUAAGACCCUCCCAUUUCAGAAAGAGAAAACGUCACGCCCAAUGCGUUAGGGCACGAUAUUUUACCUCUUCAGAAAUGAGCUUGUCUAAAAACUUACACAAUAAAAUUUUAAAGGGCAUUCAAUUGUUUAAGUCAUGUGAAAAAUUGCAACCCAAUACAUUAGGGCACAAUUUCUCAAAAUAUUAAACAUUGAAUAUUGCAUUUAUUUUGAAAAAUCCUCAUAUCCAAUGCGUUACGGCACAACGUACUGAAUUCUCGAUAAUGAGCUAUUUAUUUAUGUUUUUGUUUUAAAGAGCACCCUCGAUUAUUUAGAUCCAACGAAGAAAAUUGGAACCAAUACGUUAGGGUUCAAUUCUCUCGAAGAUCCCAAAUACCGAGUAUUACUUUUAUUUUGAAAUUUUCCGUUUUUGAUAAAUCCGAGUAAAAAUGGAUGCAAAAUAAUGAUAAUGAUGAUAAUGUAAGUAAAAUAACACGAGCAAAACAAAAUAUAAAUAAAUAAUAAGACUAAUAUAAAUACAAUCGUGCAGGCGCAAUAACAAAUAAGAAACAGAUAAAAACUAAAGCAAGAAAAAUAAUAAUAACAUACAUGUAAAUAAAUAACUGAACAAAAUUAACAAAAUUAAAAAAAAUAUAAAAGAUAUAUUUAUACAUAUAUAUGUAUAAAAUUAUGAAAAUAUUAAAAACAUAUGCAUGUACACAUUUUUGAAGCUAUUAUACAUGAAAAUAUAUGUAAGUAUAUAUGCACAUACAUGAAUACGUAUAGAACCAUCAUCAAAUAUAUAAAAGUAUAUAUAUAUAUAUGUAGGUAUAUAUGAAUCACAAAAUUUAAAGAAUAAUAUAUAUAAGAUAUAUAUUUUGGAAGUAUAAAGAAUAUGUAAGAAUUUAUAUAUACAUACAUUUAUAUAUGAAAAUGAAAUAUAUAGAUAUGUAUGUGGGUAUGUAUAAAUAUUAUAAAAUAUAAAAACAUAUAUGUGUACGCAUAUAUAUAAAAAUAUACAUAUGUAUAUAUACAUAUAUAUUAUGAAAAUAAAGCUAAAAAAAAACUAGUUAGUGUAUUAACAUAAUUGUAACGACUAAAUAAAGGAAAAUAAUAAUAAUAAUAAUAAUAAUAAUAAUAAUAACAUUAAAAUAAUUAACUAAAUAAUAAAAAUUGCUAAAAAAAGAUUAAAUCGAAAUAAAAACGAAAAUACUGGGCAAAUUCGAAAUAAAAAAAACGAAAAGGAUUAAAUUGCUACACGCAUCGAAAGAGGGAGACCAAAACGAUAAAUAAACCAAAGCCCCAAAACGCAGCGCUGCAACGGACUAAAAUGAAACAAAAGGAAAACUAUGUGGCUAAAUUAAAAUAAAAGAAAAUAAUGAAAAAGGGCCAAAUUGCAACUCGUUGCAAAGUCGGAGUGACUACGCGCGCAAAUAUCCCCUUUUAAGAAAACACGCGGAUCCUCCCCCAGGGUCGGGUCACCGAGCGGGUCAGGGCCAAAAUGGCGUCGUUUUGGCACCUGACCCUAAUGACAAAACGGCGCCAUUUCGUUUAGGGUAUUUAAACCUAAUUUUUCCCAAAAAACCUAAUUUCAGCCACCAUUUAAAAAAAAUAAAAAACUUUCUUUUUCUUUCAAAAAUCUGACUUUUGGGGUAAAAUUUUUUACUUUCUCUUGAUAUUUUGCGCGAAUAUGAAUUGUUUUUUUUUAAAAAAAUAUGUAUAAAAAUAAAAAUGAACGGGUAUAAAAAAGAAAAGAGAUGCGAAACUAAAAUCACAUUGGAGUGAAUCUGUUUGUUUUUUUUAAAUCUGUUUUUGUAUUAUUUAAAAGUGUUCUUACAAAAAAUCUAAAAAGGAACCCCCUAAAUUACAGAAAAAUUUGGCUUUUAUAGCCGAUUCUCCCCCCUCAUUCUUUGCUCUGUUGCUUUUCUAUUGCUUGCAGGGACUUGACGCGGUGCAUGUGGGGUGUCGGUGGCAAGUGGGGUGAUGGAACAUCCGACGGUGGCCGUGGCUGCUGGUGAUGCGACUGGUGUGCGGCGGCCAAGAGCUAGGGUUUCAGAAAAGCUGAAACCCUAGUUUGACUGUUGGGGUUGGGAUUUUGGGCCAAUUGGGUUAUUGGGCCUCGAGUUUGGGUUUGUAAUUGGGUUAAUUUAUUUUUUUUGGGUUUUAUGUUUGGGUUUAUUGAAUAUUGGGCUGAGGGUUAGUGGGUUAGGCCUAGGUGGGUUGGUUUGGGUUUUGGGCCCCGGGCUAAAAUUGGGCUUGUACAAAAUGAAUUAGGUUUAAUGGCUAAGUGUUAAAGAAUUCACCUUAGAGACUUAAGUUCGAGUUCCCUUCCUUCCUUUUUAUUUUUGGUAACUUGGUUUUAGGGUAAAGUCACACUCAAAAUAUAUACGACUAGGAAUUAAGAAUAAAUAAGAAAUGGGCAAUAGGUCCAAUGGUUAAGUGUUAAUCCCCUAUCUUAGAGAUCUUAGGUGUAAGUUUCCUUUUUCCCCUCCCAUUUUUCUUUUGGAUUUCGACAAUAAGGGGAAAUUUGCUGUGCCACCCCUAGGGUUUUCAAACCCGAGCUAUUUAAUCAUUCUUUUCCCAUUUGGAUUAGUUUUGCUUCUUUUCAAAUUCUUGUAAAAUUUCUACUCAUAUUAUAUUUCUCUUAUAUUUAUUUUCUUUUCCUUUCUUUUCAUUGUAACACCCUAAACUCGGUCGAAUAGGUUCGACCUAAAUUUGGAGAGCUACAUUAGCCACCGAAGUGACUUUCCAUUAACUCCCAAUCUAACCUCUAACACACCACUUACUUGCAACGUAUAUUAUGAUAAGUUAUAUCAUAACAAGGGUAUAAUAUAAUACAUAUAAUGUAAAUCAUGCAAGCUUAAAACCAAUGUAACACCCCAAACCCGGCUGAGUAGGUUCGACCCAAAUUUGGCGAGUUACAUUAGCCACCGAAGUGACUCUCCAUCAAUUCCCAACCUAACCUCCAACACACCACUUACUUGCAAUGUAUGUUAUGAUAAGUUAUAGCAUAACAGUGAAAUAAUAUCACAUAUAGAAUGUAAAUCAUGCAACCUUAUCAAACAAAAUGAGGGAACGGUUCGCAUGUUAAUUACUACGUAAGGCUACGUAGUAAGGUUAUCGCACCUAAGGGUUCACAAGCAUAUAGGGGGUCACAAACAAACAAAGGUCGCAGAAAAUAACACUUCGCAAAAAAAAUUGGCUCGCGUAUGAUGUUAAUACAUAUUUUGGAAAAAUUGAAAGAAUGCGACAUGGUACUCAUGCUAGGAGAAUUAAAGAAACAUCAAAGUAUAUUCAUGCAGAGAAGAAAUUAGUAAUAAAGGUUUAACUUCAUGGUUCGCAAAAUAUUAAAAGAAUAAACUUAAACUUUAGGGAAAUCGUUUCAUUAACAGAAUCAUAUAAUGAUAAAUCUAAACCUAUAUAAAUAAAACCCCAUCACCUAUUUCCCUAGGUUCGCAUUAUUUGUUCAGAGAUAGCCUCGCUAUUGCCAUUGGCGACUUACUUACCUGCAAAGUAAGAGAAGAGUGGGUGAGUUCAUUGCGAACUCGGUGAAUAAUCCGGAAUCAUCAACGUAUGAUUAAAAUACAGAGUUUAAAAUAGAAAGAAGACUUAGUAUGAAAAACUAUUGUAUCGCGUGUUGGGUUCGCAGUGAAUGCUAGGUUCGCAGUGAAUGUGCGAGACCCAGUUUAUAGAACCUGCUUGUCAUAAAAUCAUAUAAGUUUGAAAAUAGUUUUGCAUGUACUUACUGAAAAUCAUACUUAAAAACUUAGCUUGUUCUUGUUUGAAAAUGGAUCUUUUAUAGAAUGAAACAUGCUCACAUACUUAUCUUAUCGGAAUGGCUGAGGAAUAUAAAAUAUGUUCUUGCACUUUUCUUAACUUACUUAUAUUAUCUUGUCUUAUUUUGUUGGAUAUGUGGAUCUCUUUAUAACGCCUCAGAAUGACUCAAAGAGUCCUUAAGAUGUCCCAUAAGUGUAACAUAAGCUAAACACUCUCUUGUACACCAACAUGUCCUAUUGAAUGGAGCAUAGCUUGGCGUUCCCUUAUCUCUCCACAUGUCCCAAAGCCUCAAUGCCCAAAUCACAAAACUUAUUGGUGAGUACUCACAAUCCUUUGGUAUACAAAUAUAUCCAAUAUAUAAGCUCACAAAGGCACUCGUAUAGAAACUUAGCACAUAGAGCUAGAAAAAACAUAGCUUAUAGAACUGUAUUUUUAAAACAUGCUUUAAAACAUAGGCUUGCAUAGGAGCAUGCGUAACACAUAUCUUUAAAACAUAGCUUAAAACAUAUCUUGAAAACAAAUUAUCAGAACUUUUAAAAACAUAGUUUUAUAGGAAAAAAAACUUACUCUUGGAACUUAGUUUUUAAAAAAAAAAGAUUCUUAGAAAACAUAACAGUUCACACACAAGUUACGAAACCUGAGCAUUCAUACUAAAAAACAUGAUAGUUACCACACUUAUGGCAAUUCUUAACCACUCAUCGAUAAAACUGAAAAUUUAAAUGAGUUUUGCCUUGCCUUUAUCCUUGCUGUAGAUAGUCUGGUUGGUUCGUAACAUGCAUAAACACACAAAUUACUUCAAUAGACAAAACUUACGAACUUCACACAUGCAAGCGAACCUAGCUUUCUGGACAAUAAACCCUAAUAGGAAAAAUGCUUACCUUGGUUGCUACGAAUUUGGUUCAGAACAAAGACUUGACAACAAAAUAACGAUGAAAGAAUUUUUCCUAGAAUAAGGAUUGUAUUUAUAGGCACUAAGUAUCUUAGUGACCUUAGGAUACCCUAUUUGACUUAGGAACCCUCUACGGUUUAAAAGAAGGUUACGUGCACGAAAAGUAUCCUAGAUACACAAUAUAUUUAUUUCCUAAGUUUAGUCUAACUUGACUUUUGAUUGGCGAACCCCUAGUUUGUAACUCAAUUGUUGAACCCCAGCUCACUAAACAGAUUGGAGAACACAACUUUCAAUGAAUCUAGCGAACCUCUUACCACAUCAUUUGGCGUGCAGCAGUUUGCUAGAACACUGGCAAACUCCUUACUGGUAUCCCCUUUGGUGAACCCUAGUUUGCUGAAACACUAGUGAACCCUCACUUGUAAGGUCAAAACUUCUAGAUCAGGUUUCAGGAUGUUACAAACACCAUAUUUUUAUCAUAAUUGUUGUUGAUUAUUUUUCUUUCCUGAAUCAAAUCAUCUUUCAUUAAAUUAUUUUUCUAUUAGUUUUGUAAUUGUCGUCAAUAGCACCUCUAUAUUUGCCAAGAAACAAACCGAAUUUAGGUGAAUCAGACCGAAAUAAAGUGUGAAGAACAUCAACCGGAACUGUGGUGAAAGGUGUGUGUCUUUUCCAAGUGAAUCAGUGGUGAUCUGUGUACGAUUAAGGCCACAUGGGCUAUGCGUGUGGUCCACCAACUACCACACAACCAUGUGCACUUGUAGAUUUUAGGGACUUCAUGAACCAUACGGCCUCAGCCAGUUACACGAUCGUGUCUUUCCUGCAAGGUUUAUCAUUUUCCACAUGGAAUCAUGCUGUUACAUGACCGUCUAACCCUUACACAGGGUCUUACCCUUCUCACAUGGCCUGGCCAUACAGCCGUGUGACCCUGUUUUACAGUUUUGACCAAAAAUUUAUCAUAUGUUCAAUUUAGUCCUCGUUUAUCCCUUGAAUUAUUUUAGAGUUUUCAUUCACUCAAUUAAGUCCUUGAUAUUGUGUUUAUUCUAGAAUCUGUGAUUUAAUGACUAAAUUCCUAUUUUUAUAUUGUAUGAGAUGUGAAUAUUACAUGCCUACUGUCAUUGUAAUACUGAUAAACUAUUAAUGAUAAUAUUGUUACCACCCUAUUGAGUACAUGUUAAGCAUGUCUACUGCUAAUGUUGAACUGAAUACAUGAUAAGCAUGUCUAUUAUUAUUAUUUUUUGUAUUGUUCUAUUACAAAGCAUGCCAUAUUGCAUUGCAUGGGGUGGGACGAUAUGUAUGGAGAAAGGGUGACAGUUUAAUAAUCUGCAACCCAGUGGUGGCUCGUCCACAAACCCAAUGGCAGUUUAUCUGCAAAUGUUUUAACUAAAAAUACUGGUUGUUUAUCCGCAAUUUUUACAACGAAGUGGUAGUUUAUAUACAAAUCAGUGGUGAUUUAUCCACAACUCGGUGUGUAUGGAUGGAUGAGUUCUGGGGAACUCAUAGUGUGGUGUGUAGUGAAGUUGGGUAGGACCUUUUCUGAUAAACUGAAAUUGCAUUGCCAUUCAUAAACAUGUGCAUACAAACCAUGAAUUCUAAAUAUUAUAGUGAAGUGUUGAAUUGGAAAACCGAUAUUGUGAAUUGCUAUACGAUUGUGGUUAUUCUAAGAAUUGUUAUUUCGUAUGCUUUGACCACUAUGUUACACCGAUUUUCUUGUGAUAUGACUCACAUUGAGCUUAAGUUCACCCCCUUUUAAUUUCCAUCUUUAUAGAUAACCCACCAGGUUAGGACAUAGACACAACAUCUGGAAGGUCUUGGCUCAGAUAAAUUUUUUUAUUAAAAGUAUUUUAGACUUAUUAUUAUUUCUAUUAUUUGGAAUUGUAUUGUUUUAUUCAAACUUUGGCACGAGACUUAAGUUUUGAGUUUAUUUGACAUGCAUGAAAUUUAAUUUGAAUAUUAGGAUAUUGAAACAUGGAUUUUAAACUAAUUAUGCAUGAAAUUUUGGUUUCGCCAUCAUUAAAAAUAUUUUGAAUAUCAUUUUUCCGCUACGAUAUUAUGAAAAUAAGAAUUUGAAAAAAGUAAAUGAAUUGGAAAUCAACUUUUACUAAGUAAACUUUAAAAUCCAUUGUUUUUUGGAAACUUUUAUUUUUUAGUGAAAACAUGAUUACACGCAAAGUUUUUCUUCAAUAAUAAGCAAAUGUUUUAAACAACUGUUUUAUAAAAACUCCGAUAGUUGUAGUAGGCCAUUUCGGUAGCCAAUGCAAUCUUUUGAAUUCAGUCUUAACGUUUAGGCCGAGUUGAGGAAGUUACUAUUAGCAACUUAACAUUAAUUUGAACAUUAAAUGUUGGUCCAAACUUGACACGAAAUAUAUUUAGAAUACAUAAAUCAAAAAAUUAGUAAGUUGGCUACUUGGGUUAAUUUAUUGGUUUGACACAACAUAUCCUAUAGUAAUUCAAUGGGAUUAGAACAUCCCAACUCCUAGUUGAUUUAAUUGCUAGGUUAUCUAAGUCCACGCUUGCAAUUAUUGCUUAAAGCAUUUGUUUAAUAAAAUCUUAAAUUCCAAUGGAGGUGCUUUUUCAUAAUAUGAGGUAACCUAAGAAAAAGGAAAAAGUUGAACAUAUUGUUAAGUUAAAAUUGAACAAAUUAAGGCAAAGUGUACAAAUGGAGUGUCAUCAUUCAAAUCGGUCCUUCUCUUAAUUGUCAUAAGCCAAUUAGGUAAGCCAGAUUCUUUUAAUAAAAAGUAAAGAUUUCAUGGCAUCCCUAAAGCAUUGCAAAUUUUUUGUAAGCAUUAAAAUGGCAUUAGUUGGUACAAUACUGGUAUUGAUCUGUAUAUAUUGCUUCGGUUUUGAUCAGUACCAAAUAGUUUAUAUUUCGUUCAAUCAAAAUUUUGUUAUGUUUGAUUAUUUCGGUGUGUUUCGACCUAUUUUGGUCAAUAUCGGCUUGUACUAGCUAGUAUAAAAUUUGAUAUUUUAAACUAAAUUUUAAAAUUUUUUAAUCUUAAUUAUUUUAAUUUUGGCUAAAGGGUCUUCAAAGCCCUUGAACAUUAAAAUUUCAAUCAAUUAAGCCCAUCACACAUUAAAGUUAACGAUCAACCAUGAAAGAGCAACAAUAGCCAUUAUGAGCAAUUGUUUUCACCACGUGGCAUGUUAGACUGUACCACGUGACGAAAUAUGGUGUUUUAAAUUUAAAACCAUUAAAACUAUAGAAAAUCAUAAAAUAUUAAAAAAUUACAAAAGUUAUAAAAUUAUAUAAAAAUGAACAAAAUUAUAAAAAGUAGUAUAAAUGAUACAAAAAUUAUAUAAAUUAUUAAAAAAUUGCAAAAAGAAAACAUUAAAAAUAAGCUUAAAAUAAGAAUAUAUAAAAAAAUGUAAAAAAAAAAAAUUAGAAACUAAGUUUCGGAUACACAGCUCUGGCUGUAUUUUUCAUAAAUAAAAGCUUGGUUGAGAUUUUAGAUUUGGUAUAAAUACAAUAAAUAUAAUAUUUAUAGUAGUAAACAAGUGAAUGAAAUUAAGUAAUUGUGAUUGAGAUUCACCAUGAUUAUAUUUAUAGGAAUAAAAUAUUCCUAUAUAUAAUGAAAGUGUAAUUGAAUAAUAAAAUUCAUAUUAAUACAAGUUGCUUUAAAACAAAAGUAAAUAAUUUGAUAUUGAUCUUGUGAAACAAUUGAAUUUUGGUUUUGUUAUGGGAUUAAAUUAGCAAUUAAUCCUUUUUAAGAAUUUAGAGAACGAAUUAGAUAAGUUAGACAUAAAAGUAGAAGAGUAAAAAGAAAGGAAGUAGUGGGUAGAUUAACAUAAUUAGGAGUUUAAAUGAUAUGAUAAUAAUUAAAGCUUUAAUUUAGUUAAGGUAAUUAGAAAUGUUUGAUCAUAUUUUAGAUGUUAAUUGAAAUUAAACGAGUUAAUAGGUCGAAUACAAGUUUAUAUUUUAGUUAAGAUAAUUAAGAGUUUAACUAGAAUUAAAAAAAAAUAAGAAGCACAUUGAAUCGUCGAUGAAUUGAUUUGAUUCUAAAUCCAAACUCAAGAGAGUAGGAACAUAAUCCAUUGGAAACAACACUUUUAAGUUGUUUAAAUUUUUGAGAAAGAAAAACACUUUCAACCUUUUUUUUAAUCCCCACUCUAUCCACCAACCUACUCGUUGCUUUAUAAGUCAAAAUCGGGAAAUUAAAUAUUACACUAUUACUAAUUCGGUUAAAUUGGUUAAUUCGGUCAAAUGAAUAUUAUCGAUUUUUUGAUAUGUUUUUUUACUUGUUUUAACCAAAAAAAUAAAACAUAUAAAUUUCGGUUAAUUUGAUUAACCGGCCGAAUUAAUCGAAAUAUUUCGAUUUGGUUAAUGGUUAAAGAUACUAAUUCGAUUCGGUUAACUGAUCGGUUAAUUGUUUGAGCACCCCUAAAAAUAAGUCAUGGGACCAACAUACUGACUUCCAUACAAUUGUUAGGUAUAUAUAGCAACUCAUAAGUAUGAGUAGAAUUAGUACGCAGUACCUUAGAUUCAUUGAGCCACAUUUCAAAGUUUCCCAUGAUCUCUUUUGCUGUCAAUGAUAUAAUAAACUUUUUGUAUUCACAAUUAUGUUCACAAUAUAAAACAUAAUUGGUCGACUUGAAUACAAUUAAAUGAGACACUCUAAUGUUCUUUCCUUUUCCUCAAAUCUCUCUAUUUCAAUUCAACUACUCUCUAGAUAUGUCCCGUUAGAUUGAAUCAUACAUGAUCAUCGAUAGCCUACUAAAAUAGCUAAUAUUGAUGUAAAACUUCAAGAAACAGUUAAAGGUCAUGAGGGUACUUAGUAUAGAUCUUCAGUUGAUCUCAUGGGUUUCACACAACAUAGAAGCAGAGAUCAAAUCUUCUAUUACCCAUUUUGUUCGUAUAAUACACAUGUAGUAUGAAACACAUGCUAUGGUAUUACUCUCACUUUCCUUGAAGUGUAUGUCUUUAUCAAAAAAUCAAUACCACAUAGGUGAUAAUUCAAAUACACUUAGUAUCUAACUCGAGUCCACAACUUUAUUUUCUUAAUAGAUUCAACAACAAGACUUUCACCUGGAAUAAAAGACAUAUAAAGUGAAAAAUUCAUAUUUAAAUUAUCAAACAUAAAUCAAAUUGAUUAUAAUUAUAUCAUUUUGCAUAUAGCUCAUGUCGUGCAAGUGCACACUUUAGCCCCAACAAGUUUGGACCUAUGCCCUUCAUGCAUGCAAGGCAAGAUUCCAAACAUAAUCAUUCAAUCAUCAUUUAUGUGGGUUCUCAUAUAUAUACACAUCUCACACUUGGUAUUUAACCAAUGUGGGAUCUAAGCUUUUCUUUUCCUCAACAAAUAUUCACAAGUAGCUUACUUUGAGCACCAAUUUCUCAUUCAUCACUCAACCAUUUUGAGCAUAUGAUAUACUGUUGUAAAGGUCUCAUGGAGUAGAAUAUAAAAUCAUAAUUUUAUGAUUCAACUCUCAACAUUUACCAAUUAAAAAUAUGCCUCAAAGUUCCCAUAAAUUACAAAUUUUCCAACAACUUUUGAAUGCAUUAAUCAUUAUCAACAUUAACUCAAGUGAGGACAAGAAUAUAUUAUUCAACUUGCAAUCCUAGAGUUUUGACAUUCCUUUAAAAAAUCUCUAGGAAUCGGUUUUGUAAACUGAUUUGCAAUCCUCUUAUGCAUAGACUUUCUCUCUUGUUGUGAGAUUUACCUUCACACUUAUUUUUUCCAAUAUACUAACUUUAGAUAUUUGGAGUUUGGAGUUGGUCAAACAGAUGUAAAAGCUACCUUUUCCAAAUGAAAAUCUGGAAUUUACACAGACAAAGUAGAUUUCAUUGACAAAGGUGAAAUGCAUAGUCUGGGCAAGUUAUGAAGAUCAAUUUUAUGAUCUUAAGCGAUUUUCCAGAUAGUGAUAUGCUAUUUUUUUUAAUUAAGAAACUGUUUAGUUUGAUUUAAUCAUAAUUGAUAAAGACCACUUUACUCAUGUUAAAAGAAGGAAAGAAAAUUUUGUAACUAUGUCAUUUUAUGUGGGUGACAUGUUGUUGGCCGCAAAUGAAUUAGUGCUUAUCAUUAUGGGUUAUGCAAGACUACAUGUCAAUUCAUACGAAUGUGUCCUUUUUUCAAUGUUGUGAGUAGCAUCAUAUAUGUUAUGAUGUACAUAAAGCAAAGUAUCUCUUGUAUAGUUGGAUUCAAGACACUCCAAUCCAAACUCAUUGCAAAACAAUGAAAAUGAUAUUGAGGUAUUGAAAAGACACUAUGGAUUUUCACCAUGCUAUCUAAUUGUGAAUACAAAUACCUAUUAAUUAAAAGGAGAUUUAGAUGAAAUAUUGAAAUCUAUCUCCACACAUGUGUUCGUAUUUGAUAAUGGAGUGAACUCUUAAAGUAGUAAGAAAUAAACUUGUAUAGCAUGGUCUAUUAUUGAUGCUGAAAUUGGCAUUUUUAGCGAUGGUUCAAGAGAGUGUUUGGGUUAAAAUAAUCACGAUUAAUAUAGUUACGUUAAAGCAAAAUAUCUUCUAUAGUUGGAUUCAACAUAGUCCAAUCCAAACUUAUUGCAAAACAAUGAAAAUGAUUUUGAGGUCUUUUAUUGUUCUCUCUUGUAUAGUUUGCAUCUCAAGGCACUUUCUUGUUGAUUACGAUGAACAAAAAACGGUUGCAAGCUCUGGGACGAGCAAGAUCAAUAUCUUUAGAGAUCAAAUGAUGGUUAGUAUACAAAUUUAAAAACUAGUUUUUAUAAUUUCAUUUUCAUAUAGUUUUUAUUUAUUUUUUAUUAUAAAUUUUAUGCUUUUUAUAAUAUUUUAUAUGUUUUAGUAUUUUUACAAUAUUUUAAUAACUUUCUAUCUUUUUAAAUAUUUAUUACCAUUUUUAUUUUUAAUUCAAAUAAUUUAUUUUUUUCCAAUUUUCUAUAUUUUAUAAUAUUUUUAAUAAUAUUUUAUAUAUUUAAAUAUUUUUUCAUAAUUUUAAUUUUUUUAAAUUUUUCAUAAUUUAUAUGUUUUUUUAAUUUUUAUUUUAGUACUUUUUAAUGCUUUUCACAAUUUUUAAUAAUUUUUAUAAUUUAUAUUUUUUUUUCGUUUAUAAUCAUUUUUAUAAUUUAUAUAUAUAUCUGCAAUUUUAUAUAUUUUAUAAUUUUUGCAAUUUUUAUAUUUUAUAAAAUAAUUUUGUAAUACUCCAAACUCGGCCUUAACGUUAUGACCAAAUCUAGAGAUGCUAUGAAGAUACAUUAAAAAAAAUCUAGAAUCUGUUGAUUUUAUAAAAUGAUACUUGCCCUUAUUUAGUAAAAUCUGAGUUUAUUUGAGAAAUUUAUCGUUUUGAUGGGUUUGUCAAUUAUUUACUCAUAAAACUAGUCGAAUCCAAUUUGAAAACACGAUUUUUUUUGUUGUUGUAAAAUCCAUUAUUCAACAAUUCAAUUUUCAACCCACCAACGAGGAAAUCACACAGGACUUCCUGCUAACCUACCAUCUUUUUUCAAGAGUUCAAACCCAAUCCAACACCACCAACUCGACAGCACAUUAAGGGCUAACAAAAAUAAAUUAGAGACUCAAACGAUAAAUUAACAUCUUAUCGUUGAACUAGUAAACUCAUUCUAUCACAAAUUGAUCAAAAAUAGUAUUUAAGUGGUAAGGAACAAGAUAAGGAUAAAAGACAAAAAUAAUAAAAUUUCUUAAAAAUGAGAUUUGAACCCUAAUCAGUAAAACAAAUACUUAUUCAUGACAUAAAUUAACAAAUUAAAAAUUCAUAUUUUUGGGUCUUAAAAGUUUUUAAUAAAUUAUAAUUACUUGAUUCCAGUUUCUUUAUUAUGCCCAAAUUUAAGAUUAAGCCCUAUAUUUUAAUUUUGACAUAAUUUGAUUUAUUUAUUUUUAUAAUGUCAUUAGUUAUCUUAAAUCGCUAACAUUAUUAGCUAUGCCAAGUAAAAUAACAUCGCGUAUUUUUUUUCUUAAAAUCAUCACUUCUAACUAAAUAAUGGCUUAAUCACUUUUUUAACUAAUUAUACUAACAUAGAUUUUUUUUAGUUGGAACGAGUAUGUUUAAGGAAAAAUCACCUCAACACUUUACUUGAAAUUAGUAAUCACAUUAAUUAUUUGGACUAACUAAAUCAUUACUGAAUCACCUUCUAACUAAUUAUAGUAAUGUAUAUAUUUAAGAAAAAGCUCACUUUAAUGUUUUAACUGAAAUUAUUAACCGUGUUAAUUACUUAAACUAACUAAUGAAAAAUAUUUCAAAUUAAUUUAUACUGAAUAACUCUCAAAUCCAAGUAUAAUAAAAUAAUAUGACUAACUCAAACUUGGCGUUGAAUUGAGUUUGGGAGUAAAAUAAUCACAUCACUCAUUGGCAAAGCAUGACUGUGAUUAUGAUAUGGUUUUUCGAAGUAUAACUAUGGUGGAGUUGAUAGCAUUGAUUAGAAUACCUUUAUAAAUGAAUAUAUAACAUUUAAUCAUGUAUAUAUUUUUAAUAAUUUAAUAACUUAAAAAAACACCACACUUUAUUAUAUAUGUAAAAUGUAAAUAGAAGCUACAUUCUUAUUUCAUGAAAUAACAUCAUAGAGAAUGUGAUGGCAGAGUUCAUUCUCAGUAAUAUAUGUGAUACUAAUUAGGAAUCAAACUGUCUUCAAUGGCUGGAUGGAGGUGGAGGUGGAGGUGGAGACAUGAAAGGAAUGGAAGGCAAGCUGCUACUGGGAAGUGGUGGAAGAACAGUGAUAGGCUUAGGCUAAGAUGGUGGGAUUGUUGGUAGCUUCGGGAUUCAAGGCAAUGGAGGUAUGCAGGGUUGAGCUGAGAAUGAUGGUAGAUCUAGGAUUGAAGGCAAUGGAAGUAUGUUGGGCAACUUACGAAGUGGUGGUAGUUCUAAGUUCUGGGAUUGAAGGAAAUGGUGGUGGUUCUGGGAUUAAAGGAAGUGGUGACAUCGGAGGUGGCAAUGGUACCGGUAAAUAUGCAGAUGGCAAUGGUACUGGUAAAAAUGGAGGUGGCAAUGGUAUUGGCGACAAUGGAGGUAGCAAUGGUACUGGUGACAAUGGUAUUGGCGACAAUGGAGGUGGCAAUGGUAUUGGUGGAAAUGGAGGUGGCACUUGCUGAAGAUUUCGGGUUGCUAGGCUAACCUCCAUGCUUGAAAAACCCAAGGAAAUGAAGCAGGCUAAUAAAAUGAAAACGUUGGAAGCUGCCAUUUUUUUUUGGAGAGAUGAACUAAAGAUUGAAGAUUUGAGUUGAGGAAAGCAGGAUUGGUUUCGGGUAUUUAUAGCCACAUUUGAAGGAGUUUUUUAAUUAUUUGUUUGAGAUAUUACUCCCCUACUUAGCUUACUACCUUC
RNAcentral lists this long non-coding RNA (69378 nucleotides) under Gossypium barbadense (sea-island cotton). RNAcentral's name for it is "long non-coding RNA (GBAR_LNC014561)". The stretch from base 11148 to 11292 matches the Rfam family "MIR7502 microRNA precursor family". The record is from RNAcentral. Lineage: Eukaryota; Viridiplantae; Streptophyta; Magnoliopsida; Malvales; Malvaceae.